RNAcentral lists this long non-coding RNA (55759 nucleotides) under Manihot esculenta (cassava). RNAcentral describes it as "long non-coding RNA (MESC_LNC000579)". Lineage: Eukaryota; Viridiplantae; Streptophyta; Magnoliopsida; Malpighiales; Euphorbiaceae. The record is from RNAcentral.
GGGGAUCAACCUAUUACCUGGGCUACAAGGAUGCGCAUUGCCAUUGAUGUAGCGAGGGGGUUGUCCUUCUUACAUGGUUUAGAUGCCAAAGUCAUCUAUCGUGAUCUGAAGGCAUCCAAUAUUCUACUUGAUUCGGUAUGUUGAAGCCUUAAACUUAAUUUAUUGAUAUAAACUAACAUAACAAAUAUGCUAGACUUUUAUAUGGCUGAUGGACUGGUGAAAUCCAUUUCAGGAUUAUAAUGCAAAGCUUUCUGACUUUGGCCUAGCAAGGGAUGGUCCCACUGGAGAUAACACUCAUGUUUCAACCAAAGUGGUGGGAACUCGGGGUUAUGCUGCACCGGAAUAUGUGGCUACAGGUUAGUUAAGUUUUUGUUACAUAUUAAUUAUUUUUUUCUUUGCAUGUUAAACUACUUGUGUUUUGGAGAGUCUGGAUCCACAAUAUAUGAAACAACACAAAGGCAGAUAAAAAGAGGGUGAACUGAGAAACAGAAGUAACUGAAACAAAGGCGACCCAAGCCAGAGCUAGGUUACAACUCAACAAUUUUGUGAGAUACAUUUUGAAAUACACUACAUUCCUAAACUUGUUUUUAAGAAGCUCAAAAUGGUGGAAAUUGUCAGCAUUUGCUCUAAGGCGUGCCAGAAACUAAUGGGCAGAUGUAAUUUUACCCUUAUCAUUGGACAAAGUAGUUGGAACAAGUGAUAAAAGACAGAUUGAAGACCGAGUUGCAGGCAUGAUGAUCAUGACUGUAGUAUGCUUAUGGCAUGCCAAAGGGAAGUAGUGAAUGCUUGGAGAUUCUUCAAUUGUAAGUAAACAUUGGAACAUAGAAAUAAAAACUACGUUAAGUCCACAUUUCAGGGUGGUCAUUCGAUGAAGAAAACUAAUUUAAACCAAGAGUAAGGAAUGUAAUUAAAGUUAGCUUCUGGUGUUUACUGCUCUGAUAUUUUUGCUUGUAUAGCUGCGUGUUUGUCUAUUGUUUUACAUCUUAAUACAAGUUAAAGCAAAGAGAAUUUUGACAGCCUUUUCUUUCCUUUUGCUGGCUUAAACCAAGCAGGUCGCUUGACUCCAAAGAGCGAUGUCUACAGCUUUGGUGUUGUCUUGCUAGAAUUACUAUCAGGAAGAAGGGCAAUGGAUGAUGAGAGAGCUUAUUUUGUUGAAGAAACUCUGGUGGAUUGGGCAAAACCUUUUCUGAGUGACCCCAGGCGAGUUUUGAGAAUCAUGGACACCAGAUUGGGUGGUCAGUACUUCAAGAAAGGAGCCCAAGCUGCAGCUGCUCUUGCAUUGCAAUGCCUGCACACAGAUCCCAAAAAUAGGCCAUUGAUGAUUGAGGUUCUAACUGCAUUAGAAAAACUUAACACAUCAAAAGAUGCACCUAAGACACCCUCUCCAGCUAGGCUGGAUAGUCACUGGAUCAAGCGCGGGUCCUCACAGGAAUAAAAAGCAGCUACCAAUUUCAGUAUGAACAAUGUUUUCUCCUUGUGGUCUGACACAUCAAUCAUGUUUCUUGGAGAGCUAUUUUCAUGGUUUUCUACUGAAGUGCACUUGAAGCUAGUACAUCUCUCUAAAGCAAGUACAAAAUUAGUUAUACGCCAGAGCAGGCUAAAGCCAAAUUUAGCAAGAAGAAACAAUGUAUAUACAUAGUCUCUCAGCGUCUGGAGAAUGGCAUUGUGGAAAAGGCAUAUGUAUUAUCUGCAUAUUGUAAAUGGACGCUUUGGUGUUUGAGUUUUGUUUGUUACGAGCUAGGAUUGUUUUCAAACAAAAUCACAAAAUGAAGAGAAUGUUAAUGAGAUGAGAUGAGAUGAGGUGAGUUUAUUACUGUUUCUAACAAUAUUGCAUUCUCUUGGGGGGGUACUGGCAAGUCAAUUGUGAAAUUUAGUGGCAUUUUAGGUUCAUUCCUUAAUGUCUGAAAUAAGAGUGAUGAGUUGUUUUUUUUUUUUUCCUUCUAGUAAGUCUGUGUUAGUCAUCAUAGACUGGGGCAGUUAUUUGAGAAAAUUGAUCUUAAUUGAAUCGAUUCAUUUAAAACAGUAAUAAACUGAAUAGAAUGGAAGCACUUGAACAGAAUAUUGAUUUCCCAAGUUCAAUGUAUAUACUUUGGUUUCUAUAUAUAUAUUUUUUCUCUUGAAAUUCAAUUAUCUAUUAAAAUAUUUCCAAAUUAAAAACCCACUUGCCUUAUAUAGAUAAAAUUAAAAUGCCAAGUGAAAAAUCAAGUAAGAGAACCUCAUUGGAAAAGAAACAAAAAAACCCAGAAUUGCCUAUCAAAAGAACAAAGCUGGUGUAAAUUAAGGAAGCUGCUGCAAGACAAUGAGCCACCUUUGGCUUUAUUUCAACUUAUUCUGGAGACUGAGUGAUGAUAGAUAUAAUAUUUACUUCCAAAUAAGGAUUUAAAAUAGGAUGGCGUUUUCAUUUUCAUUUUCUUUUUCGUUUUUCUUUUUUAUAAAUAUUACCUUAUAAUAAAUUUUGAAACUCCACCUUAUAUCUCAUUUGAUAUACUUUUAAGUAAUUUUAAUAAUAAAUAUUGUUAUAAACUAUUUUAUGUCAGCUGUUUAUCAGCUUAUCAGUCACCUAAUAUUAUUUUAAUCAAAUAUAUAAUUACUUAAAAUUUGAAAUAUUUAUAAUCUUCAAAUAACUUAUAAGAGUGAAUAUUUGUUGGUUUACUUAAAAUGAAAAUUAAACCUAAUUAAGAUAAAAAUUAAUUUGAAUUUAAUUGAUCUGAUUGAAUUCGUUCAGUUUAGCUUUUUAAUAAAUUUUUUUUACAACUUAUUUUUAAUAUUCAAUUUUUAGUUAGGAUUAUCUUUCUGAAUUAUUUAAAUGACAUAAUAUUAUAAUUAUUUAGUUCGAUUUUAUUAAAUUUUUUUAUUAAAAUUAAAUAAAAAAUUAUAUAUUCGAAUUGAUUUUUUAAAUGAAUUCGAUUCAAUUAAUAUUUCAGUUUCAACCCAAUACAGCUAACUCUUAUGAUAAACACUUAGAUGUUGUAAAUUAAUUUUAUAAAUUAAGAUAAAUACAUCUACAUUAUCUACCUACCAAGAGAUUUGUUUAGUAUUAAAAUUAAAAUUAGCCUUCGAUAAAAAUAUAUUAUUUAAAUAUAUUAAAAUUUUAAUUUAAUUUUUUAAACAUAAUUUAAUUAUACAAAUAUAAAAAAAUAUAUUUUCUUAUACUAUUUUAUUUCAACAACAUUUAAAAUAAUUUUUUUUCUAAAAUAGUACUUUUUGUUUUCAAUCUCAACGUUAAACACAUUCUAAGCCUUAAUAAAAUGGGAACUACUUGCAUGAUAAAUUUCUACUAUCAAAAUUUAUUGUAAAACAAUAAUUAAUCAAAUUUUCAACUGGAAAAAUUGUCACUGAUUUAUUAUUACUGAUUUCUUCAAUUAGAAAACGGGAUGGGGAUAUUUAAUUAUAUAUAUACAUAUAUAUAUAUAUAUAUAUAUAUAAAAGGAGCGAGGUGGGAAUAUGCCAACAUGACAUGGGUAGCAUAGGGUUUCCAUGAAACCAUAAAAAGCAAGAAAUCAUGUUAUAUAGACGUAAUGCCCCAAACCUUUGCAGAGGAAUUUGAAUCGGUGGUUAUUGUUACGAUCAUACGCCAUUGUUUUUCUUCAAAAGAAAAUCUCAACUAUCAUUUCUGCUUCUAAUCAUGGGUUCAGGUGCUGUGUUCACUCUUUUUUCUACCUGAACUAUGUCAUCAUCAGUGACCAGUUACUAGCUAGGGUUCUAAAAGGAAUUAUAAAUUCUUCUUAUUCUUCUUCUUUCCGUUGAAAAUUCAAUUAGAUUUUUAUUUGCAAUUCAGUUAAUAUUGAUAAUAGUGACAAUAGCAAUAACGGCAAUGUGCAGAUGCCGAUAUGGAGGAUUAUGGGUUCGAGUACUCGGACGAGGAGCCUGAGGAACAGGACGUUGACAUUGAGAACCAAUAUUAUAACUCUAAAGGUUUUUAAUUUUCAUUUUUCAUUUUCUAAGCAAAUUGUAGAAAUGGACUCUCUCCCUCUCCAUAUUUGGAAAAGUUCCUUGAUAUUGAAUUCUGCGUAUAAAUUAAUUCUUACAGUGGUGUAGAGUUCUUUGAUUUGAUUGUAUUUUGGAAAAACCUUCUUUAUUUUUUAGUAUUAGGUUAAUGUUGUAAAAAUUUUUGGUAACAGCUAGGAGUUAUUACCUAAACCAGUGUGCUGACUACGGAGCAAAUUUUAUGGGCUUUUCCUUUUUUAUUCAGUGGCAAUGCCUUGUACUCUGUAUUGUGGUUUCUUUUGAAGAUUAUUAAGGAAUUGGAUCUCAAGGAAUGGAUUUCUUUUUAUGUUAUCCUACUAAGAUUUAUUUUGAGGCAAAAAAAAUUUAUGGAAUGAUUUUACAUAUUAAAAGAAUCAGUUAGGGCGAAGAUGAAAUUUUGUUUUGUUACAAUUUCUUUUUUUUUUUCUAUGUAAAUGUGCUUUUCUCGUUUGAAUGCUUUCACAUUUCAUUAACUGGUUUCACUGAGGCAAUUUAUGGUCCAUUAUUUACAUCCUUGAUUAACAGUUUUCAGAUGACUAGCCAUUGGCUAUUAUGAAAUUCCUUAAAAUUUGUUGUUGGAAAAUCUAUUGCUCUAUGAUGUGCUCUAUAUGCAGAGAAGGUUGUAAUUUUUGUAUCAGGUUUGCUCAUUAUAAAUUUACUAAUUUAUUGUUUCUGUUCCCCCCUACAUUUCGUCUUCAUUGUAAAAAGGUCUGGUUGAAACAGACCCAGAAGGAGCACUUGCAGGUUUUGCUGAAGUUGUUAGUAUGGAACCAGAGAAGGCAGAGUGGUGAGUGCCAUAGAACUUCACAAUUCAAUUUCUGUUGUCCACUUUAUGUUUGAGAACUUGGUGUCCAUUUUGUCAAAAUUUGCCCUCUCUUGUAUGCAUUUUCCUGUUUUGGUACCUAAUCAAGUUGAAAUUAGGUCUGAAAAGGCCACAAGUCAAAGUUAUUUACAUUAGGUAAUUAUUAUGAUUAAGGAUUAAUAAGUUAGUGAGACUGAAGAUUGGGAGAUUAUUUGGUUACAUGUUGUAACUAUUAUCAAAAUAGGAUUUGAGAACGAAUUGUAUAAAUAGGAAUAGCAUUUUGACUGAUCACGGUCAAUUACCAAUUCAAUAAUACAACUAUCAAUUCCCUCUCAAACUCUUGUUCUCUCUCUCUGCCCACUCCCUUCUUUUCCUUCUCUUCUUGAAUCUUUUUCUUCUUUGGCUCUGUUUCUUCCUUCUGUCCCUCUUCCUUUUCAUUUCUGCAGUCUAUCUCGUGCAUUCAUAACAUUAACAUUAAAGCAUUCUUGGCUGAAUUUGAAGAAUGAUGAAUAUUAGUGCUGGCCAGAGAAAAUGCUGUUGGUCAACUAGGUUGUUUUGAAGGGUUUGAAAGAACAUCCUUGUUGCUUUUAACACUUACUUUUGUAUAAUCAGUGAGAACAGGAAACCAUGUAUACAGUCUUUCCUUGAAUUAAGAAAACAUAUAAUUUAUUUUUGUUGAUUGCAUCAACUUCCCCUUGUUGGCCAGACUAGACCUUGAGUUAUGGCUAGAAAAAUCUCAGAUCGGUAGAUUGCAUCCUUAUGAUUGCAUAUGUUUUUAUUCAGGAUAUUUGCCUUUGUUGAAUUUUUGGUUGCACCCUUCUUCCUUGGUUGGAGAAACAUAACCUCAAUUUCUAACAUGCAUAGGUAGAAAGAUCUCUCAUCUGUUCCAUUGGUUUUCUGUGUUCUGCUGCUAACGUAUUUCUGUAGUUUCAUAUAAUUUGCAAUCUAAAUGAUUACUUAACCUCCUUCAUAAAAAAUUCUUCUGUGCAUUCUUUGUGGAAGUUUAAUUAGUUGGAUUUUUCUUUCUUAUGUUAUUGUUGUGUUAAAUCAACCCAUGGGAAUGUGGGUAGUUGCUGCCAGUGAUCUUAAGAGGUGCACCCUGCACCUGUUUCAAGGCACAUGUGUAAGGCAUGCCUUAGAUGCCAUCCACCUUUUGCCUUCAGAGGCAGUGAGGCUUGUGCCUAGUGUGCCUCAGGCACACCUUUAGCAACACUAUGCAUUGACAUAAUGAUAAUUUGUUCUUCUAUUUUAGUAAUUUGCUGCAUUCCAAAAUUGACAUUUGAUAAAGCUAGUAGGGUUGGCUUGAAAGGUAGAUGCAUCAAAAGGAUUAAUUUGCUGUAUGAAACAUCUGAUGAAUUGGAGAGAUGUCAUUGUACAAUAUAUAUAUAUCACUCAUAUUAUUGUUAUUUCUGCAUUCGUAUGGCAAAAUGCUUUACUAUUGCAUAUCUAUUAUCCCACUGAUAUAGAAAUGUUUAUUCAUUUUAAACCUUUUUUUUACAAUCAGAUAAUUGUUUUCUUUCCAGGGGGUUCAAAGCAUUGAAACAAACUGUUAAGCUUUAUUAUCGCUUGGGAAAGUAUAAAGAAAUGAUGGAUGCUUACAGGGAGAUGCUUACAUACAUUAAGUCAGCAGUCACCCGCAACUACAGUGAGAAAUGUAUAAACAGCAUCAUGGACUUCGUUUCGGGAUCAGCUAGUCAGAAUUUUGGCCUCCUGCAAGAAUUUUAUCAAACCACCUUGAAGGCCCUGGAAGAAGCAAAGAAUGAGGUAAGGUAUGAUAAAUAUUUUAGAAUGCCAUUUAUGACAGGAUAUUUAUAUAUUGUUUCCUGUACAGAGACUUUGGUUCAAGACAAAUCUUAAGCUCUGCAAAAUAUGGUUUGAUAUGGGUGAAUAUGGCCGGAUGAGCAAGGUAUAUUAUUGUCAUAAUUACUGGAGCUUGCUAUUCUUAUAUCUGGAUUACAACUAUUUAUGAGAUCAAUGGUUGUAAAUGAUCAGAUUCUGAAAGAACUCCAUAAAUCUUGUCAACGAGAAGAUGGUACAGAUGACCAAAAGAAAGGCAGUCAGCUUCUGGAGGUAUAUGCAAUUGAGAUUCAAAUGUACACUGAGACCAAGAACAACAAAAAGCUUAAGGUAGAGACUUUUUCCUGUUCCCUUGGUGCUCUCACUUUAUAUUGAGACCUUGUUAUUGGUGUUUCCUCAUCUUCAGUACAAUUUAUUUCCAGAAAAGAAUGAAAAAAAAAAAGGAAAAUCUUUGUGAUUAAACUAUGUAUUAUGGUGUUAAGUGAUUCACCAAAUGCAUUAGUCCAGCUGUGUGAAAUGAUGUCCUGUCAUUUAACAAUUAGACUAUAUUAUCAGCUGCAAACUUGAUAAGAAGCUGAAGAUCAUGUUUUCCAUAUCAAACUACAAGUAGUUCUUCUUAUGAAAUGUCAAUAUAUAAGAGCAUCAAGGGGCUGAGGGAGAGGGAAUCAAGUAAACUAGAAAAAAAUAUAUAAAAGCAAUUCUCAAGCUAUUGGAUUACACAGAUUAGGCAGGACUUUCUAUUGUGGAAGUUGCAGAUGAGUUGGUAGCUAUUUGAUUAAUUUGUUUGUCUUGUUGGCAAAAUUGUUAACUCUGUUAUGUCCAAGAAGAGGGAACGGGAUAAAUGCUCUGCUUAAGAACACACAGCCACUGAGCUUUUAACAUGUACAUGCUUUGUUUUUGCGUCUCUUUGUUAAUGUCAUUGGAGUUUGAUCUCCUGUAUGUGUUCCAUCUGGACUAACAUGCAAAAUGCAUUGAUCAUUGCUUACUGGAAAUAGAAGUGGGGUUUGAGUUGUAAUAAAUUGGCUGUUUGUUCCUGAGAUCUUUGUGAGAGUUCAGUUCUUGGUGGUUCCAUCAUGAUUUUCAUGAUAGUUGGAGGCUUGAAUUCUUUUGCGCUUUUCUACAUUGUAAAAUAUGAUGUUUCUUUCUGUUUUGCCUUUAUUAGCAAUUAUACCAAAAGGCACUUGCAAUCAAGUCAGCAAUUCCACAUCCAAGGAUAAUGGGGAUAAUUCGAGAAUGUGGUGGGAAGAUGCAUAUGGCAGAGCGUCAAUGGGAUGAGGCAGCGACAGAUUUCUUUGAAGCUUUUAAGAAUUACGAUGAAGCUGGGAACCAAAGACGCAUACAAUGCCUAAAGUAUGUUCUUUAUGUCUCCUUAUCUUGUUUUCUCUUUAAUCUUUUGUUUGCAUGAAAAGUGCAGGAGAUAAUGCCAAGUCGUCAAGCAAAAACAAGAUCUGAACUUUGAAAGUAAAAAAAUUUUAACAUGACUGGUUCCAACAGAAAAAAUAUCUAUAGAGCAAGUGUUAGAGAAACUAGGAGGGAAAAUUAUUUCUCAUUUUCAUAAUUAAUGUAUAUUUGAUACUUAUGGACACAUUUAGUGUGGUGGCGAAGAAAUCAACGUGUUAAUAGUUUGAUUAGGGUAAAGAGAAAAACUUGACCUCCAUUGAGAAGAAAAUGUAGUUGUCAAAUUAUGCAGCAUAAUAAGCUCUCUCUCUCUUUACGAACCACAGCUACAUUUGCAUGCAAGUUAUUAUUCAGCCCACUUAUGCUUUUUUGGUGCAUAUAUGAAAAAUAUGCAAGGUUGAGAAUAAGUACUGCAGUUACAGAUUGGCAGAACUUCAACUCAUCCAUGAUUGUAUCUUCUUGUGCACAAGCUAAAACUAAUUCAAAACAGUUGGACAGUGCUACAAAGUAAUUGGACUUUAAAUUGAAGAAAUUUAAUUUUAUAUGCUUCACAAAGAAGGUACAUGAUUGAUUACAUAUUUUCUUUUCGCGAUGCUGUAUCUUGUUUUUGCACUGCAUUAAUGGUACAUCAACAAUAUGAUUUCUUCCUUGCUGAGAGCUUCCAAUACACUGUUAUAGGAUCACCUAACUGUGUUAAGCGUCAUGGCUGACAGAUACCUGGUACUGGCUAAUAUGCUGAUGGAAUCUGAAGUGAAUCCAUUUGAUGGUCAAGAGGCAAAGCCGUAAGUGGUUUUAUAUAUCACUUUGAUAUAUGCUUCUCUUUCUAUUGUUUGCGCCAUUCUUAUGACGAUAUACUGUUCAGAUAUAAAAAUGAUCCUGAGAUUUUGGCCAUGACAAACCUCAUAGCAGCAUAUCAAAGGAAUGAAAUAUUGGAAUUUGAGAAAAUCCUCAAGGUUAAUGUACUUUGAUUGAAUUAUGUUUAUAGUUUGUUAGUUGUUAUGCCUGUGUUUAAGUUGGCCGUUGAAUUUUCUCAGAGUAACAGAAGGACAAUAAUGGAUGAUCCAUUCAUACGGAAUUAUAUUGAAGAUCUAUUGAAAAAUGUCCGAACUCAAGUGCUGCUCAAGCUUAUUAAACCUUAUACAAGAAUUCGGAUUCCUUUCAUAUCCAAGGUAAUGCCUUUUCUUUCUUACCCCAUCAAGUCUUUAAAGACUGAAGCACAAUUUACUACCCUGCUGCUGCACACUUUUCAGAUUUGGACCUAUGUUUCUUUUUGUGACAAUGGGUGCUCUGUAAUUGCCACCGUUAGCAAAAUUGGGACAAAUCAUAAAUAUAGUUGGAUUUUUGCUAAAUGGCAUUUUUAUGGAAAAACUUGCCUAGACCUGGUUCAUCUAGAGCCAAGACACAAUAAUAUUAUGGAUCCUACAUAAAAAUCCAAUGGAACCCAUUUAUUUAUAUCUUGGAUCCACCACAGGCCCAGUCUAGGUAAGAAUUACUCGUUUUUAUUAUUCAUGAAUUUGUUUUGUAAAGAAGUGGGUCCCAUGUGCCAAAAAGAAAAGGUAAAACAAUUCAGAGCUGUGCACCUCCCUCGCCCACCCUCCUCUUGUCUCUCACUUCUGCCUCCUCCAUCCCCCAUUCCCCCUUCCCCCCCUUUUUUCUCCAUCAAAACCUUGUAAUCACAAAGCUGAGUUUCGUCAUCAAACACCUGGAGAUCACAAUAACAGCAGCAUUAAGAACAAUUGUCUAGUUCUUCUGACUUUCCUGAUGAGUGUGACCUAUAGUGUCACAUAGGCAGAUUAUCCCUGAGAAAUUUUCUCUUUGUAGAUAGGUUAUCGCAUGACAUUGGUGCUUUAUUAUUUGUUAAAAUUCAUUCAAGAAGUGGAAUCUUUGAUUUUCUUUAACUGGGAUCAAAUCAUCUAUUAGAAGAAGUAAAUGGACCUGUUUGAUUAAAUUCAAUUCCUUGCGAUGUCUUUCUUUGAUGAUGUAGACUGCUCCAAUAAAUUGUGUAUGUUGCUCAUGGCCAAGCUAAGCUUUAUCCCAUCUCCUAUAUUACGCCAUUUGAGAAUCGAUUCAAUUAGUGGAAUUUGAGAAGGCCCAAAAAAACCUCUAAAAGAAAUUAUUCUGAGAAGCAGUUGUUUUAACCACUUGUUUUUUUAAAUUUGUAUUUUUUUUUUCAGUGGUCUUAGUACGCCCUUUUCACGUGUACUUUCUUUUAAACUAAAAAUCUGCCAUGUCAGCAUCAUAUACAAAAUGUGCUGAACCUGCUCAUAACAUUAAGCAGAGUUCCGUUUUGUCAUGAGAAAAGCCACAUGCUUCAAAAUUGCACUUUGCAUUUCUUUUAAAACCAUUAUCUUCUUCACUUUUAUUACAAGGAUCUUAUAAAGUGGAGUGAUAUUUUGUGAACUUGCUUUAAGGAACUCAAUGUACCAGAAAAAGAUGUUGAGCAGCUGUUGGUUUCACUAAUAUUGGAUAAUCGUAUUGAUGGACAUAUUGAUCAAGUGAACAGGCUAUUAGAGCGUGGAGACAGGUACAUGCCUAAUUUACUUGUCUGUUCCAGUUCUCUGAUUAGUUGGGAGUUAAUGUGAUGUUCAUCAGUUCAUGUGCUGCAGCCAUCAUUAUUGUCAUUUUUGUAAAAUGUCGUGCAGGUCAAAGGGAAUGAAGAAGUAUACUGCCAUCGAGAAAUGGAACACACAACUUAGGUCACUUCAUCAAACUAUCAGCAACCGUGUAUACUGAGAAUGUGUCAGUAGGUAGUAUGAUUUCCAUCUGGGGAAGGUCCUCGCCUUUUCUUAAUAUUUUGGUGGCACUAACAACUGAACUUUUGCUCGUGUGAGACCACAUUAUCUUAGAAGAUACUUCUAUAAGUAGUCAUUUAGAUAAAGGAGCGUGUUUUAUAGCUGAUGCAUCUUGAAGAAAAUGUGGGUAGAGAAUGUGAAAUCGAAAGUAUACUCGUAAUUUUGAUGCUGAGAAAAAUCCUAGUCAUAUAUGGAACAAUCAGACAGCAUGCACGCAUUGAAUAUACCAUUUUGUUGGUUUGUUUGAUCUAUAUUGAUUUGUCUCCCAUUCUGCUGUGCAUCAGAGGCUAGCAAAAGAAGUGUAAGUCUGGCGUUUUUAGAAUCCAUGAUACAUGUAUAUAUUAUGAAACUGCUGGGUUGAAACCCAGGUGGAGAUGCUGGGUUAAAUCUUGGUUUCAUUUAGUUCAUCGAGUUGCGUGAAUAGGACGACAACUACUCUUAGUUGCCAGGUUAAUUUGAUUUCACGCAGUUUAAACUUUCUAUUAAAUUUCUGAAUAUGGAAUAGCAAUUUUCGAAAUGUUUUGGGAGCUAUUUGAUUUCUGGUCUACUCCAUCAUGUGAAUCAGACAAUCAAUACCAUAAAGCAGAUUUUUUUUUUUUCACAAACGUUUCAGGUGACGGUGGAGGACAGCCGCAUUGGGGCUCGUUCACUUGAUUUGGCUAAAAUAGAUCGUCAUAUUCUUUUACACCGUUUACUGGUUUGACAAGUUUGUCGUUUGGUUGGUAAGCACCGAAUCUCAAUUGUUUUAAUUAAAUAAUCAUAAACAAAUAAUUAUGUAAAAUUUUGAUUGAUUCAAUUAAUGAUAAAAUUGAACUAUUUUAAAAAAUAAUUUUAAAAGAGAAUGUUAUUUUCUAAAUUUUGAAACUUGUAUUAAUAUUAAUGCUCUUUUUAUAUAAAAAUUUUAUUAAUUUUACCUUUUAUUUUCUAAAGUUUCAAUUACAAGUACAAUAUAAGUGUUUUUUUCAAAAAAUAUAUUUUUUGAAAAGCAAUUUUUCACAUACAAAUUUUUUAUAUGGAAAAAACAAAGCCUAAGACUCCUUUAUUUUAUGAAAACUGUUUUUUUUUUUUUUUCACAUUUUUCUAGUAUUUUGACAUUCAAAAUUAUUUAAUGAAAAAUAUAUCUUAAUUAAAAAUUUUUUAAAAAAUAAUAAUUUUCUUUUUAAGAUGCACAAAAGUCAUUUUUAAAAAAAAAAUUGAUUUAUUAACAACAUUAAACGUUUUAUAUAUGAAUCUUGUUAACAUCGUUUGUUUUUAACAUUGUAAUUAAAUAAUAAAAUAUAAAUUACCUUUUCAAAUGAUUUUUUAAGAAAAUAUUUUUAUAUAUAAAUUAUUUUUCAUAAAACAAAUAAAAUUUAAAUCAAAUAUUCAUAAUAAAUUCAAAGGGUAAAUUAUUCAAAUCUCUCUGCAUUUAGUGAUUUGUUUCAAUGGAGGUUUGGGGUUUUAUAAAAUUUCAUAGCCACCAUUUUUUGCUUGGAGGAGAUUUUACUUAGGUAUGGUUUUUGAGGAAUUCUCAAAAUAUGAAAUGUCUCAACCCGUCAAAAUAAUGAAUUGAGAAUGUUUUAUCUUUAAUAUUUUUUUAUUUAUAAAAAAUUAUGCCUAUUUUAAAAAUAUUAGAAUUAAUAUUAUAUUUCCAUUAAUUUUAUUUUGAUCUCUCUUACUUCUUCAUAUGAAACUCUCCCAAAUAAUUUGACAACAAUUGAAAAAUGUACCUACAAAAUUAUGAUGAUCAUAAAUUUGAGUAGUAAAAGAGAUUGUAAAAAAAUUAUAUUUGCAUUACUACUUUUUGGAAAUUAAAUAAAUUAAUUAUAAUUAAAUUUAAUAUUUUUUAUAUUUUAUUAUUUAACCACUAUCGAAAUAAUUAUUAAUAAUUAAAAUAAUUAACCAUUAAAAAGUUAAUAUUAUCAAUAAAGCAAAAAAAUACUUAUUUUAAUUUUUAACUAAUCACUAUUAAAAUAAUUAAUAUUAUCAUGUAUUAUUUCAACAUUCGUUAAAAAUGUUAUAUAAUAUAAUUUUCACUGGAGUGGUAUAAUAAUAGAAGAUCUUGUUAUGUUCAAUUAUUUAUCGAUUUUAUAUGAUGAUAAAUCAUUUGAUACUAUGUUCUUUGAAUUCACUCACUUCUCUUGCCUAUUGUUGAAAAAAAUGAUUUUUUUUUAUUUUGGUUUUCCUUGCAAGAAAAUAAAAUAAAAUAAAAUAAAAAUAAUUAAAGGGUGAAAGCUAAGCAAUCGGCCCACCUGGGGCAGUGUGAUGAUCGAGUUAGAUUGUUAUCUUAGGGCUGACAGGGGUUAGAAAUUGGAAAGUUUAUAUAUAUAGGUUUAAUUGUGACGUCUCACUCUUGUUUCCACAAUAAUUAUAAUAUCUCACUUUAACAUUAUUAUAAAAAAAAUUUAAAUUAAUUUAUUAUUUAAUUAAUUCAGAUUAUUUAAUCGUUGAAGCUAUUUAUAUAGUUCCCUCAUUAACUGAAUGUGUUUGGCGUAUGAAUGCAGUGAGAUUAGAGUAGGAGACACAUUGGGCAUUGAAUCAACAUGAUUCACAAGAAAUAUAUAAAAUUAAAAAGAAAAACACAUGGAAUUGUGAUUAUUUAAUUUAAAUAUGAGAGUUGAUGCUAAUCAAAUUAGAUUUGAGUUGAAAAGAUGACACAUUACAAGACUUGAGGUUGUAUCCAACAACACAACUUGUCUUGUCAUUAUUAAUUGUCUGUUCAAAUUUCAAUAUUUUUUUAUCCUUGCGACGUGGCAAUUUCAGAAGCACAUCUUUUAACUUUCAUUUUCUCUUUUUUUGUUUUCUAAAAAAAAAAAACACAAACAAACGUACCCAUGUGACCCUAUUUAAAAAAAAAAAACAUUAAUUGUUUGGUGUUUUUUUUUUUUUUGAAAUGGGGAUGGGGAAUUCGAACCUGAAAUUUAUCAGGUUUAACCGGAUGCACUUACCAUCAGACUAAGCUUGAGAGUGCAAUUAUUUGAUACUUUUAUUUUGAAAUACACAUUAAUAUUUUUUUAUUCCGUUUCCUCUUCGAUUAUUUUAGGUUCUAACUAUUUAAUUUAUUGUUGUUAAAAUAUAUAUAUUAUUUUAUUUUUCUUUGAUUAAUGGGAUGCUACUAUCUUGUCUCAAAACUUUGAGCCAGCAGAUGUUGAGAAAAUUAGAGUCAUUCCUCUCAGUAUUUUUGCUCAGGAAGAUAGGUUGAUAUGGCACUUUGAGAAAAGCGACAUUUAUUCAGUCAGGUCUGGUUAUUAGAAAGCUAAAGAUUUGAGUAGACGGGCAGCUAUAGAACCUAAUGGUAAUUCGAGUCCAAGUUCCUCAGCUCACAAUUCUUACUUCUGGAAGUCUCUUUGGAAGACUAAUGUUCCAAGUAAACUUCGGAUUUUCCUAUGGCUUUUUUGCUUGGAGCGGCUACCUUGUAAAGACCUCCUUCAUCAUCGGAUCCAACAUAUAGACCCGGCCUGUUCUCAUUGCGGAGGAAAGGAAUCCAUUGAUCACAUUUUUUUCUCAUGCCCUCAUGCUAUCUCAGUUUGGUUUAAUUCUCCAUUGCAACUUCGUUCUUCUUAUCUUUUGAGCUCAACAAUGAUGGACAAAUGGACAGAAGUUUGUAAUGCUCUUUCUCAGGAAUCCGACUCAGAUAGUCUAAUACAACUUUUUGCCUUCCUUCUUUGGCAAAUAUGGAAAGAUAGGAAUGCUUUCACAUUCAAUAAUAUGUCUAAACCGGCUGAAGAGUCUGUUAGCUUAGCAAUUAGAAGUCGAGAUGAUUUUAGAGAAGCCACCUCCAACCAUCCUCUCCCCUCGCAUCAAUCAGAAAUGGAUCAACAGCUGUUAAUUCAUCAAUCUCAACUCUCUUGGCAACCCCCUCCUCUCGGUUUCGUAAAGCUUAACUUCGAUGCAGCUUGGGACAAGAAUUCGAAUUCAGGAGCCACUGCAAUUAUUGUUCGUGAUCCUUUUGGAAGUGUUAUUGACUGGUGCUGUCGUUCGUGGGUCUCUAUCUCAGACCCCUUACAAUUAGAGAGUAUUGCUUGUCGAGAAGCACUUCUUUUUGUCAAAAGUAGAGGAUUCUCUCACUCUAUUAUAGAAGGAGAUUCUCUUAUCACAGUUCAAGCCUGUAGGGGUAACCCAGCUCCCCUUAAUAUUCAAGAUAUUAUCUCUGACUCGUUAGAUAUCGCUAAAUCCUUUCAGUCUAUCUCUUUUUCUUGGGUACGUCGGACUCACAAUCAGGUUUCACAUCUCCUUUGUAAAAAGUUCAUCAGAGAUAGUUCGUUCAGAGUAAAUCCCUUGUAUUAGAUGAACUUUGUUUUCUCCUUGCCACUUGAUGGCUUUUAGCAAUGAACUAUAUCUUAUGAAAAAAAAAAAUGUAAAAACAAUGAAAAAUUAAAUUGUUAAAAUUUUGACAUAGUUUGAAUUCAAUUAAAUUUAUUUACUGCUAAAUUAAAAUUGGAAGUAUAGUUUCUUGAUAAAAACAUUAAAAUAAAAAUAAAAUAAUGAAGAAUAUGAAAAGUAAGAGAGAAAUGGAAAGAAAUUAAAGAAGACACCAAUUAUAAAAGGGAUGUUAUGUGAAAAAUUGAUGGAGUAGAACAAUGAUUUGGUCUUUAAGGGUGGGGAAUAUUGUAUGCUUUGUUUUAAUGGCCAAAGCCUCCAACAAACUGCCCACAUGCUGUUGCUGCUUCCUAGUUGCUACCUUCUCUCUUUAACAACCUUCUAUUUUCAUUUUGUUUCUGUGUCUAUCAAUCAUAUAUUUAUGGCUUUAUUUAAUUUAAAUAUGUUACUUUUUAGAAGUUACUCUGAAUUUAACUUAAUUAAAUUUGAUAAAUAAAUUAAUUUACUUUUUAUUAAAAAAAUAUCAAUCAAAUAAAAAUAAUUUUUAAUUAAAUUAUUCCGAUUAAAUAAGAUUUAUAUUUACAUGUUAAUGAAUAAAUAUUUUAUAAUAAGUAAAUGAAAAUAUUCAAAGUCAAAAUUUCUUUUAACGUUUUAAACUAUUUAAUUAGCUGUAAAGUGAAAAACUUGGGAUAAGAAGAAAUUGUCAAAAACUGAAAAGGCAUCCAAUAUAAGUUAUUAUUAAUUAAUAGAUGAUUAUUGAGCACAGUGCAUCAAAGUUUUAAAUCAAUCAACGUUUUGAAAAGACAAUAAAAUUACUUUUUAAAUUAAUUUAAUUUUAGUGGGGUAGGGGAGAGAGAUUCCAGCCCCAUCACUUCCAUCUUUCUCAUCAAUUUUUGCAAAAUUAGUCCUUACUUAUACAAGUUCUUAAAUAUAUUUUUUUUCAAUUCAAUUCAAUAAAUUUUUUUAAAAUAAAUUAAAUAUAUCACAAGGAACAUAUAUACGCUUUAGAUUUUAAAAUUAUUAACAUAUAAUUUAAUUUAUUAGAUACACUGGAUAAUAAUUCAUUUUUCUUAAUAAAAAAUUAGAGAUAUAAAUAAAUAAGUGAUAUAUUUUUAAUCAUUAAAUUAAAUCAAAUACGUAGUAAGAAGUAAUAAGUUUACCUUUUGACAUUUGUGCAUUUGUGAUUAUUGGCGUUCAUGUUCUUUGAAUAAUUCACUUAUUUGUUAUAUAGGUUUGCGAUUAUUAAUGAUAUUGAGAGCUCUUCCAUUUUCAAUAAACUUCAAAUUAAAUAUAUGAAAAAAACAAACUCAAAUUUAAAAUUUCUCUUGUUUUUCAUGCUUUAAUAGAAGAAAAAAAAAUCAAAUUACUCAUUAAUUAGUUUAGAAUUAUAAUUUAUUGAAAAAUUCACAUAUUAUGUAUCUAAAAAUAAUUUUUUUAAUGCAAAAUUACUCAUUAUAUUAAUAAAAAAAUAUUAUUUUAAAUAGAAAAAUGAUCAUAUCUAAUAAAUUAUGUCUAAUAUUUGUCACUAAUUAUUUUUUAUUUUUUUAAAAUAAAUUUUAGAAUGAAUUUUUUUUUAACUUAAAUAGAAUAAAAUAUAAGUGUUUAAAUAUUUAAAUUUAAAAAUAAAAAGAUGAAUUUAUUAAUUAUAUAAAAUUUAAAAAUUAAAACAUAAUUUAUUUUAAAUAAAAUGAAAAAUUUAUGAUUUCAAUUAUUUACAUAAACAAAUACAUCACAAUUAAAACAUAUAUUUUAUUUUUAUUUUUAUUUUUAUUUUUAUUUAUCGCCAGUUCAAACAAAGGAAACAAAAAGUAAUUUUUAAUUUGUGAUGUAUAAGAGAAUCGGAGGAAAAGAAAGUUGAAAACGAUUAGGACCUACGAUCUACCUUAUCUUUAAUUUAGAAAAUAAAUAAUAAAAAUUGGUGACAAUAUAAUUUUAUCAUUAAAAAUGUGUGAUAUUAAAAUUUAAAUAUGAAAAAUAAAUAACAAUAAUAAUAAUAAAUAAAUAAUUAUUGUGCUUUAACUCAUUAAUACUAAAAUUAUUUUAAAAUUUUAAAAAUUUUAGAUUUUAAAUAAAGUGAGAGCUAAUUCUAUUUAAAAAAAUAACAAUAUUAAUAUGCGUAUAUUCAAUUUAUUUAUUAAAAAAAUAUUAAAUAAAAAAAUUAAAUAUACAGUAAUUUAUAUUUAUAUUUAUAUUCAACACUUUAAAUUUUCUACAAUAAAGUUAAACUUUUUAAUUUCUCAAUUGAAUUAAAUUAAAUUUAUAUAAAUUAAUAGUAAAUUAUGAUAUAAUUUUUAAAAAUUUAUAUUAUUAAUAAAAUAUAUAAUUUUUUAAUUUAAAAUUUAUAUUAAAAUUAAAUAUAUUUUUUAUUUAUUUUAUAUAAUAUUAAUUAUAGUAUAUUAAAUAAAUAUUUAUUACAAAUAAAUUUCUAUUAUAUAAAGCAUUAUAUAUCGAUAAUAUAUAUUAAAGUAUUUUAAUGAAUAUUUAUAUUCAAUAUUAUAAAUUAUAUAUUUUUAUAUUUAAAAAUUUUUAUUUUCUAUUAAUAAUAUUCUAAAUGAAACAAAAUAUUACAUAUUUUAAAUUGUGAAUUUUUUUUUUAAUAUUUGAAAUUUUUAUUAAUAUCUCUAAUAAUAUUAUAAAAAAUGAAUAAUGAGAUUAAUAAAAAAUAUUGUUAUUGUAAUAAAAAUAUGUAUUUAAAAAUUAUUUUAUUAUUUAAAUAGAAUUUUGAAAAGUAUAUUAUAAUUUACUUUUAACUUAUAUAAAUUUAAUUAGACAUUUUAGCUAUAAUUAUAGUAAAUUAAUUUUUUUAAAUUUAAAAUAUUAAAUAUAAAUAUGAAUUAUCAUAAAUAUUUAGAUUUUUUUCAAUUAUUCUAAAAAAUUUAUUACCAAAAUAAAUUAAAAUCAAUAAAAAUUAAAUCAAAAUUUUAAAUUAAUUUAUUAAUUUGAUUUUUAAAUUAAUUUAUUAAUUUAAUUUUUAAAUUAAUUUAAUUCAAACAAUUUAUUUAGAUUUAAAUGAAUAUUGUAAACUCGUAAUCACAUGGAAUUGUACAUUUACUGUCACGUGUUCAAAGAAUAAGUGGUUUCAAGUUUCCACUAUUUUUCGGAAAACAAAUCUUCAAUAAAAUAACUUGUUUUUAUUAUUUAUUUUUAAGUUAAAAAAUAAAUUAUAUUAAUAAAUUUAUAUAUAGAAAUUUUAAAAAUAUAAAAAAAUAAUUUUGUUUUUAAAAAUAAAAAAUAUUUUUCCUUUGAAAAAUGAUCACCUGAGUCAGUAGCCAACCCAGAAUUUUAAUGCAAAGGGAGCAAAUUUUGAUAUUCUGUCUAUUUUAUAAUUAUAAAUUUAUUUUAAUUUACUUACUAUUACUUCUUUGAAAAAUGAUCACAUGUAUGAAGAUUGGCUUUUUAAAUAGUUUAUUGAUAAUAUUAUUUUGAUAAAUUUUAAAUUUUAUAAUUGAGUUAGAAUAAGAAAAAUAAAAUCGCAAUAGAAUUUUAGUUUGAAAUGAAUUUUUAAAAUUUAUUUAGUUUGUACUGAAUCAUUAAGAGACCCAUUCAAAUUUAUUGGAUUUUUUAUGGCUCUUAUAUUAAUAUCAUUAGUCUCCAUCUGCUCAUAAAUUUUUAGAUUCAUAAUUUUUUUUACAUCGUGUUAUUAUAUUAAUUUUAAAAAAUACUAAAGGAUGAUUUUCCUAUUUUUCUUACUCAUUUUUAAUAUAAAGGGACUAGUAGAAUUCACUGUCACGACCAACCUUCAAGUCAUCUUAUUUUUAUAUUUUCUCUUAUUUUUUAUCCUUCCUUAUUAAAGGCAUUUUAUUUAUUUUUAAGUGGGCGGCUCUCCUACUUUCCUUACUCAAUUUUAUUUAUAUAAAAGGACUUAUAAAGUUCAUUUAUCCCACACCAUUUUUCAAGUUAUCUUAUUUUUAUAUUUUCUUUUAUUUUUUUAUCCAACUAUGUUAAAAACAUUUUAUUUAUUUUAAAAUAACACGCUCUAACACGUUCAUACUAAAAUUAUUUUAAAAUUUAAAAAUUUUUCAUUUUUCAUUUUUGAUAUAAAGGGACUCGUAGAGUUCAUUUAUCCCGACCAACCUUCAAGUCAUAUUAUUUUUAUAUUUUCUCUUAUUUUUUAUCCAUCCUAGCUAAAGGCAUUUUCUUUAUUUUUAAGUGGUGGCUCUCCUACUUUCCUUACUCAAUUUUUUUAUAUAAAAUGACUUAUGAAAUUCAUUUAUCCCACACCAACUUUCAAAUCAUUUUAUUUUUGUAUUCUUUUUUUAUUUUUUUUAUCCAACUAUACUAAAGACAUUUUAUUUAUUUUAAAAUAACUGUGCUCUAACGCGUUCGUACUAAAAUUAUUUCAAAAUUUAAAAAAUUUUUUAUUUUUUAUUUUUAAUAUAAAGGAAUUCGUAGAAUUAAUUUAUCCCACCAACCUUAAGUCAUCUUAUUUUUAUAUUUUCUCUUUUUUUUUUACUCUUUCUUACUAAAAGCAUUUUAUUUAUUUUUAAGUAGGUGGCUCUCCUACUUUCCUUACUCAAUUUUUUUUUAUAUAAAAGAACUUAUGAAAUUCAUUUAUCCCGCACCAACUUUCAAGUCAUCUUAUUUUUAUAUUUUCUUUUAUUUUUUUAUCCAACUAUGCUAAAGACAAUUUAUUUAUUUUAAAAUAACGUGCUCUAACACGUUCGUACUAAAAUUAUUUUAAAAUUUAAAAAAUUUUCGAUUUUAAACAUAAUGAGAGCUAAUCAUAUUAAAAAAUUGAAAGAUUUAUAAUUUAAUUCCUGAGUAUUGUCAUUAUUAACAAGUCAGUUCUUAUAUUUUUAAAAACCUAUUAGAACAUCCUUAUGUUUUCUUUCCGUCAACGAAAUAGUCUUUCCAUCCUCUUUUCCGUUAAAAUUAGAUAAAGGAGGAGAGAGAAAAAUUUUAAAAUCCAAUUUUACCCUCAAAUAAAAUCAUUUAUUUAAUCAUUGGAUAUUGUUAUUAUUAACAAGUUAGUCCUUACAUUUUCAAAAAUCUAUUAAAACGUUUUUAUCUUUUUCCAUAUCUAUUAAAACGUACUUAUCAUUUUUUUUCGUUAAUAAAAUAGUCUCUAUCUUUUCUCAUAUCUAUUAAAACGUCCUUAUCAUUUCUUUCCAUCAACAAAAUAGUCCUUUCUCAUCGUUUCUUUUCGUCAACGAAAUUACCCCUCCCUAUAUUUUUAGAAAUCUAUUAAAACGUCCUUAUCGUUUCUGUUUGUCAACAAAAUAGUCCCUAUCUUUUAUCACAUCUAUUAAAAUGUCCUUAUCGUUUCUUUUUGUCAACGAAAUAGUCCCUAUCUUUUUUUUCCUCCUCCUCCUUCGACUCCUCCGAAAAAGAAGGAGAAGAAGAAGAAGAGAAAGAAGAAAAAGAAGAAGAAGAGAAAGAAGAAAAAGAAGAAGAAGAAGAAGGAGAAGGAGGAGAAGAAGAAUAAGAUAAAUAAGAGAAAGAAGAAAAAAAAGAAGAACAAGAAGAAGAAGAAGAAGAAGGAGAAGAAGGAGAAGAAGAAGAAGAGAAAGAAGAAAAAGAAGAAAAAGAAGCAAAAGAAGAAGAAGAAGGAGAAGAAGGAGAAGAAGAAGAAGAGAAAGAAGAAAAAGAAGAAAAAGAAGCAAAAGAAGAAGAAGAAGAAGAAGAAGGAGGAGGAGAAGCAGAAGGAGAAGCAGAAGCAUAAUAAGGAGGAAGAAUUGAUAAAGAAUAAAAGGAAGGAGGAGAAGGAAGAGGAGGAGGAGAAAAAUAAUGGGGUAAUUUAGUCUUUUUACUAUAUUUUUAACGAUAAAAAUAGACGGAAAGACUAUUUUGUUGACGGAAAAAAAAGAUAAAGACGUUUUAAUAGAUUUCUAAAAAUAUAUGGACUGACUUGUUAAUAAUAACGCAAUAGUCAUAGAUUAAAUUAUAAAUCUCCUUUAAAAAUAAUAACAAUACUUAUAUGCAUAUAUUUAAUUUACCACUGUCCAUUCGAAAAUUUUCCUAUGAAUCGACAAAUGCUUCUAUUAUAUUUUAAUAACUGUCCUUGCUAAAUUUUAUUAAUAAAAAAAAAAAUCAUCUUAUUUACAUGUGAAUAGUUAUUUAUGAAUUUAUCAACUUGCAAUAAUUCUGAUAUUUGUUUAUAGGCAAAAUAAAUCUAUUGAUUAUAAAUACAUUACACAUAUUUAAUUAUUAUUUUUGUCGUAAGUUCAAAAUACAAAUAAUUUAAAAAUAUAAUAAUUAUUUUAGAGAAUUAAUUUAUUAAAUAAUUAAUAUUUAUUGGUCAUCAACCAUUAAUUAUAACUAUAAAUUAUCUCCCAAAAUGAAAUAAAAUGAUGCAAAUUUUUUAUUCUUUAAUUAUAAUUAUUGAGUUCUUAUUUUGAAUAUAAAAUAUUUUUAAAAUUAAAAAUAAUAUAUUUUAUUUUUAUAAUAAAUGUAUUUAAUAUGAUUUAAAAUAAUCAAAUUAAUAAAUUUUAGAUAUUAAAUAGUUAAGAGAGAGAAAUUGGACAACAUUUUGCACCCACGAGAAACACGGGCCCUAUUUCAUAUUAAUCAAAUACUAUAUUUCACGUCUCACUUCCUUCCUUCUAUAUUUACUUAGAACUAAUCAAUUGCUUAAGGAAAACUCAAUAACAUUUUUUUAAAUAAUAAAACAUAAUUUUUAUUUUCUUUUACCGAAAUUACUUAUUUAAAUAUUUUGUCAAUAUAAUAAUAUUUUUAAAUUGAACUAAUUAUUAUUAUGCUCUGUAUAAAUAAUUUUUUUUUUCAUACUUAAUUUUUAUCAAUCCAACCAUGGACAAAGUAUAAACAAUUUUUUUCCAUAUAUUUAUUUUUGAAUUAGUUAAAAAAUUAUUCUGAUAUUUUUAUCGUUUUUACCAUAUCCUACACAUGGGUAUUGUCAGAGAAAAUCUGUAAUCUAAAUAAUCUAUUAGAUAAGAAAAAUAUGGUGUUGUCAGCUUCUUGUCUUUUCAUUUGGAAUGGGAAAAUUUGAGAGGCAAAGGCAGAUGGUAUAAUAUUUUCCAUGGAACCAAACACAUGGGAGAAAAAGGGUGUGAGGAAGACUUGUAGUAAAUGGAGAAGCAUAGCAGUAGAAACGGUGAUAAGCAGGAAAAGAUUUGUCAGGUAGCAGUGGAAGAAAGAGGAGACAGGAGGCUGUGAUACAAUUUGCUUUUUGCAUAUAUACAUAUAAAAAUACAAUAUAUAUGACUUGUGUUUACCAAAAUCUAAGUCUGGCUCUUCGCAAACUCAAUAGCCAUAGCCCCAAAAAAAUCAAUCACCAGCUGCUCUUCUUAUCUCAUCGCACCAACCAUCACCUUCUCAAAGUAUACUUCUUCUCUCCCUAUCUUUCUCUCUCUUUCUUUUCUACACGAGUUGUUUAAUCCUCAAGAUUUUCUAUUAGUGAAUUCAAUAAUUAUCCAUUCAAAAGUUUGUAUUUUCACUUGUGGAAUUUGCUUUGAACUUCGUCUUUGGCUGUUUUGCUGAUUCUUUUGCCUUUGCCUUUUCUUUCUUCGCUGCUGCUUCUCCUUCCUCUUAAACUCUCUUCUGUGCUUUUGUUAUUCUGUUUUUGUGAAAGCUUUUCUUGGUUAGUUCUUCUAAAAUUUGAUCUGGGUUUUUGUUUACCUUGAAGAAAAAUUCUGAUUUCUGCCAUGUUCUUCUGAAAAAUUCUGUAGCUCAUUUCCCUUUUUUAUCUUCUUCUUUGUGGGAGUAGUAAUGGAUUUUGAGAAAGAGAUUCUUUUUAGCUCUGUAUUAAAUUCAGUCUUAAUUUGUAUUAUUGUUAACUAUAAAAUAUUUAUUUAGGGGUUGCUAGCCAGCAACUUUGAAUUACUGUCUUAUUUUGCUAUAAAGCUGCUCCAAAUUCCAGUUCGGUGGGCGAAUUGGUGAUUGGACUUGAGGUUAAUGCACUUCUUAUAUUUAUAUCUAUUUCUGUUGUUCUUUCCUUUUUUGUUUUUCAUUUCUCUGAAUUUUUUAAAAUCUGAUAUGAUCCAAUAUUCUAUUAUGCUUUUCCAUUUCAAUUUUCAUCUUUGAUUCUUCUCUAAUUUUUAAUGUAAUUUGAUGCUUUGAUCUGUUAUUUAUGGUGGCAAAGUGUCAAUUAGGCAGGAUCUUCUUUCCAUUUGAGUGGUUAUUACAUUGUUAAAUAAGGAUACCAGCUUCCUAAUAUUGUAGAUUAUUUGGGUAUGCCACUUCUUUUUAUACAUGAUCUGUAUAUAGGUUCUGCUGUUUACUCCGAAUGCAAUUUUUGUGAUGGUUUCUGUCCUAAGGGGAUGAAGUUCACUGUUUGGAAAUUAUGAGAAGUGGUGAUGAAAAGAAAAAAUGUCAGCUUUUUGUUUCAGAACUUACGCUUGUAGUGUUCCAUGUGAAGCCUGAUGGGAACAGUUAGUUCAUUUAAAAUUUCAAGCUCAUAACAUUAUAAAAAAGUUUGACCUGGAGACCAAACAUUAUCAGAUCCCAAAAAAUGGAGUUCAAUUUAUGUUCACAAAGAUGGAGCUUGGAAAUGGCUGAAAAUUUAUUCAUUUCUUUUAAAUUUAUGUGGCAGUUAUCUGGAACUUGUUCUUUGAUUUGCAUUUCAGGAAGAUCAUAUAAAAGUUGCAGAACUGUGAGGCUAAGAAAAUUCAAUCUAUAAGUUGAGCAUGAGUCAACCUAAAAUCAAGCGUAGAGUGGGUAAAUAUGAGGUGGGAAGAACAAUCGGUGAGGGAACAUUUGCAAAAGUGAAGUUUGCAAGGAACUCUGAGACUGGAGACCCUGUGGCUUUGAAGAUUCUUGACAAAGAGAAGGUUCUUAAACACAAGAUGGCUGAACAGGUCUGGUUUGUUGUUAUUUUUUUUAAAUUUUUUUUGCAAAUGGUACCAUCUUCAGUUUUACUUUCUUCACUCCUGUUUCUUUAUGGAGUGUAUUAUUGUAAGCUGCGCUUGUUCAUCAAUUCCUUCCUGUUAUUCUGAAGGCUAUUGCCUUGUUCUUUCGUUCAUUUUUUCUAUGGCUUACUUUUUUUACAUCAAUCCCCAUGGUCCCAGGAGAUCCUUUUUUUCAUUUUUUUUUAAUCUUUUGAAAAACUUUUUCGAGCUAUUGUAUUAAGAAUUGCAUGUAAGUUGCAUCAUGUCUCUAAAUGUUUGAUCUUGCUUUUACAGAUCAAGCGAGAGGUAGCAACAAUGAAGCUUAUAAAGCAUCCAAAUGUUGUUCGUUUAUAUGAGGUCUCUCUCUCUCAUUUCCUUUUGUAUUUACCCUAUUGUUGUAACUUGUUAAGUAAAUUCUUUUAAUUAUGACUUCUAAAUCAGAAAUGUACUUUUGGUUUUCUCUUACAUCUUUAUCUGCCAUAUGUAGGCGAUGUCAGAUUUUCUGGUUAUUUUUCAUGCAUGCAUGUUGCUAGGAACUGUUGAUGGUAAUUUUGCUAAGACAUCAUUUGCACCUGUUUCCCAUGGAAAUGAAAUUUAGCAUCUCCUUUAGGAAUUGAGGAAGAAUCAUCAACAAUGAUAGAAUGCAUUGAAUCCUGUAUCAUUUGGGACAGUGAUUAUGAAUCCCUUAUAAGAGCACUUUGAGCUAGUUUUUGAGCUGAUCCAAAUUUAACAUGUUAUCAUAGCCUUCCAUCCGAUGUUGGGCCUCUCUUAAAUAUUUCACGCUACAGUUUAUUUCUAAGCGUGGGGUUUGUGUCGAAUCCCAUAUCAGUUAUGGGAUAGAUGAUUCAGUGGAACAUGCUUCCAAAUUGAUAAUCCUAAACAACACUUUGAAUUUCCUGCAGCAAAAUUGUGGAGUUUAGUUCAUGACAUGAUCUUUUUGCUAGUAAAAGAUUUUAUUUUAAUGUUGUUAGCAAUUUCCAUCUCCAGUUUGAGUUAAAUCUAAGAUUCUUUGUUAUGUAAGCUACUAUUUUGGUAUUUUUAGUAUUAUGUGCUUAAAUAUAAUUAUGAUUGGUCUGUCCAAAAUUAUUACUUGAAGAAACCUGAGUAAAGAUGCAAGAUGUAAAAUCCAUAUACUUGGUGUAAGCUUUAUCAAACAUUUAACUCUUUUCCAGGUGAUGGGAAGCAAGACAAAGAUUUUCAUUGUCUUGGAGUUUGUUACUGGGGGAGAGCUUUUCGACAAAAUUGUAAGUUGGUGUCCAGUUCAAACUUUUUUCCAUUUCACUUCUACUUGGCUUGGUAUUCCCAAUGGAUUUAAGAACUCAUCCAUUUGACACCAUUAAAAUUACUUGCAAAUCUGUCAAUUUAUCUUGAAGGCAGGUGCUCAUUGUCUAUUAACCAUUAAAAACUUUCCCCUUUGGAUAAUUGUCAUAUAUAUUCAUUUAUAAUAAUGCUGUCGUCUGUCGAUAGGAGCAAAGGUUUGAAUUGGUUGGAUGUUUGUUUUCCCUCACAAUUACCAAACUACUUUUUGAGCUUGUCUUUGCGUGACCAUGUGUUUGUUAUGAAGGUAAACCAUGGACGGAUGCGAGAAGAUGAAGCUCGGAGGUAUUUCCAGCAGCUUAUUAAUGCAGUGGAUUACUGCCACAGUAGGGGUGUCUACCACAGAGACCUGAAGGUGCUCUAUAACUUUUAUCAACCUAUAAACACAUAGAUGACACAUUCAUUACUCUUUUAUGACAGAUGCCUGAUACACCUGUUGUGCUUACCAUAAAUGUGCAUAAUCUUGCUUUAACUGCAGCCAGAAAACCUGCUGUUGGAUGCUAACGGCAACCUCAAAGUUUCUGAUUUUGGACUCAGUGCAUUGUCCCAACAAGUCAGGGUAAUUAUUGUAAAAUUUUCAUUUCUUAGCUCAAUUAAUUGUUGACAUCACUUAUCCACCCAAAUCCUACUACAAAUCAGACCAAUUUCAUUACUGGAAUGGGCCUGAUGAGUGGGUUUUUUUGAAGUUUCUUACAUGAUCGGCUUUACAUGAAUUUAUUCUCAUCUAAAGUUUAUUUUCCAGGAUGAUGGCCUACUUCAUACUACUUGUGGAACUCCAAAUUAUGUUGCUCCUGAGGUUUAUAUCAGUUUUAUGCCAACAUUUUUCUGCCGUUUAUGUCACCUUUGGAUCUUUGGCCUCUAUGGUGUACUUUUUUGAUGUUCAGGUUCUUAAUGAUAGAGGUUAUGAUGGGGCAACUGCAGACAUGUGGUCUUGUGGAGUGAUACUAUUUGUACUGCUUGCAGGGUACUUGCCUUUUGAUGAUCCUAAUCUUAUGAACCUGUAUAAAAAAGUGAGCAUUUUACAGAUUUUCUUGGAACUAUUCUUUAUUGUUCUCUGUCCUUUGGUAUUCACUUUCCCUUUCCUAUAUGCAGAUUUCAGCAGCUGAGUUCACUUGCCCCCCCUGGCUUUCCUUUGGUGCCAUGAAAUUGAUCACUAGAAUUUUGGAUCCAAAUCCUAUGACCGUAAGUAGUUGUACUUUAGUAACUUCCUUUACUUCUUUUGCUACAUUAAAUAGCUUGUUACUGAUAACUUUGAUUUUCAAAAUUAAGAGAAAUAUCUACUAUAUUGGCUCUAUUUAGAUGUUAUUGAAAUUGAAUGGAAAUGAUGCUCAUAUUUGUGCAUGAAGCCAACAUUGAUGGAAAUGGUGACAUGUAUCUUGGGAUAAUGUAGUUUGUAUCCAUUAGUGGCAAAUGAGGAACACAUCCUUUUGUUGCUUCUGCAAGAGUAGAAUUCAACAUGUUUAUCAUAUUUCUAUUGGGUGGAGGAGUGCUAGUCAGAUUUGAUGCUGGCUUUUCCCAUUUAUAAGCCUAGUAACACUUUGAAAAAAUGAAAAUUUUUAUAUUCUUCUUUAGUUUAAUUAUGCUACAAUCUUCUAGAGAGAUUUGUAAGGGAGCAAGUGCUGUGGAGCUGAUUCUAGACGAUUGAGCUUUCAGUGCUUCACCUGACGCAGCAAACUUGCUAUCAGUUACAGUUUUGUUCUUUUAUAAAUUUAUUUUAUUUAUUUGUCUUAUUUUUCCAUUUGGUUUAUGUCUCUGAUUUAAAAUUUAUUUUUAUGUUAGCGCAUCACUAUCCCUGAAAUCUUGGAAGAUGAAUGGUUUAAGAAAGAUUAUAAGCCCCCUGUAUUUGAGGAGAAAGAAGACACCAACUUGGAUGAUGUUGAAGCUGUUUUUAAGGACUCAGAAGUAAGUGCAAGAAUUUAUAGAACAAUUAUAUGCAAUUCGGAGAACUUGUCGCAAUUGUUUUGCAAUUCUGCAUGAUAGUGUUUGUUGAAGUGUACUUCACUGGCAUUGUUGCAGGAACAUCAUGUAACUGAGAAGAAGGAAGAACAGCCAACAGCAAUGAAUGCAUUUGAGUUAAUUUCUAUGUCAAAAGGACUAAAUCUCGGGAAUUUGUUUGAUGCAGAACAGGUUAGCAUGUUAGAAGGCUUUCUUACUUUAUACUUUUGCACAAUAUUCAAAAUGGAUUAGUUCUCUUCAUGUGUGUGCAUGUGCAUGUGCAAGCACUGGUGCAUUUAUUAAAGGGAAUGGUAGUGCAGCAAACAUCCCGUUCUGCUUUUGAGGAAGGGUUGAUGUUAAAAUAUUAUUCUGUUUAUAGGCGGGUGAAAUCCAGUAGUCAGGAUGUGUAUUUGUGUAUGCAUUUCCUUGAUCCUGUUGUAAUUUUAGCAUUAUAGGCCUAAUCCCAAACUAGUUGGGGUCUGCUGUUGAAUCCUUUUUUACCGUUCAGUUAAGUUUAUCAAUUCUGCAUCAAUAUUGUAAAUCUUAUGAUGCUAUUCUUUGUUAAGAAUCAAAUAAUCACACGAUCUAAAAAAUAAGUAUGAAAAAAAAAUCAACACGUAGAUUUAAUAGAUUUAAUGUGGUUUACCAAUUUGACUACAUCUACGACGGUUAGAGUUUUUUUUAUUGCUCUGUGAGUUUUCGAACAGAAUCUACUAAGAGUUGGAUCCGCGACCGUGGGUUAACGGUAUACAGUCUAUAAUAUAUCAUUAGACUCCAUAUCUUAACUUUCUUUUCCGCAUCACUUCAGUCCUUCCACCACUAAUUUGUCACAUUUUCGUACUAAGGGAUUUGAUGAUCUAUGUUGUACCUGACCAAAUCAUCUUAAUCGAGACUCUCACAUUUUAUCCUCAAUUUGUGCUACAUUGACUUUCUAUCAGAUGAUGUAUUUCCUAGACUUAUCAACUAUCGUGUAAUCAGAAUCUAUCUUAACAUUCACAUUUUGCCACAAUUAUCCUGUGGAUGUGGUUGUAACUCAGUCUUAGAUGCCAAUAUUCAAUCCCAUACAACUUUCCUAACUGAACCACAGUUCUAUAGAGCUUAUUUUUCACUUCGUCUAAGGAUUUCAUAGAGAGGUCAAGUCACCAAAAUCGAAUGGGAAUGCAUACACGCACAUGCCAAGGGGAUGUUUGAAACAUUCCAAGACCUCUCAUUGCUACGAGGCUAUAUGUUCGUAUGUCCCCAUGUUAAUUAAUUGAAGGCAAAAUAGCAGAGAAUUACUAUUCUAACCUCUUUAAGGUGAUUUAGUGACCAGCACAUGUUUUUCUCUAAUCAUAUUUUGUGACUAAUGGGUUGGCUGCAGGGCUUCAAGAGGGAAACAAGGUUCACAUCUAAACGCCCUGCUAAUGAGAUAAUCCAUAAGAUUGAAGAAGCUGCAAAGCCACUUGGUUUUGAUGUUCACAAGAAAAACUACAAGGUGGGCAAAAUGUGAACAGUGUACCUCUUUAUUUUUUGGCUAAAGAGCAAGUGUCUGAUGUAAUGUAUAUUAAUCGUCUUUCUCAGAUGAGACUUGAAAAUAUGAAAGCUGGUAGAAAGGGAAACCUUAAUGUUGCCACUGAGGUCAGCAAUAAUGAAAUUCCUUGUUAUGGUAUACUCAGUAGUCAUUUUGUAUUACUUCUUCAUUUCUUACUUGUCUACCAGAUUUUCCAAGUGGCACCUUCUCUACAUAUGGUUGAAGUGCGGAAAGCAAAAGGAGACACCUUGGAAUUCCAUAAGGUAUCAUUUCUCUUAUUGUUGAAAAAGUUUGUAUUGUCUAAAUAGGGUUGAUAUGUGUGCAAGAAAAUACCAAAGACACUGAAAUAUUUAUUUACAUGAUGAGGGAAACUGUAUUUACCAUUUAUGUGCCUUCUGGAUAGGCAAGUUUAAAUCUAUAUCCAAGAAUUAAAUGCUGCUUACAAAAUCACUCCUUUGAAGAGCUAAUGCACAUCAACAAAACACGAAACAUAAGUAGCCAUCUGUUCUUAAUUUCUCUGGAGAGGAUUCUUUGGUCUUUCAAGCUUUGAAAUUUUACUUAGUCAAUGUCCACCAAAUGGCCAAACGAUGGGACCCACACCUAUUUCUUCCAUGGUCAAUGAACUGAUCCUCUCAGUUACACUUGAAAAAGAAAAGGGUCUGGAUUUGGAUCCUGUUCCCUGGUGUCAUGCAUGUCCUAGUGGCAUGUUUUCCAAUGGGUUUUUGUCUGGUCAAGCAUGUAGAACUGAAGUCAGCUGAUUGGAAUUAAGCAAUUAUCUGAAAGCUUGACCUUCUGACACACUGAUUUACAAGUCCAAUGUUUUUAAUCAUGCUUAUCAGGUAAUGCUUUUGGUUGCAGAAACUGUUGUUCAAGUUGAUCAUGUUUUUGUAUAUUUGAUGUUUUCUAUGCAGUUCUAUAAAAAUCUUUCAACCUGCCUCGAUGAUGUUGUCUGGAAAUCUGAGGAUGACAUGCAAGAGAUGAAGUAAAAAUGGGGCCUGUUGUCAGGAGGGAUGAUCACAUGUUUUGUUUGUGUUAUCUUGCCAAAUGUAUCAUACUUGUUCUAUAUCUUCAUUCUUUACCACUAUCUUUUACUGGGAUCAUUCCAUCUCUGUAGAAUUUGAGAGACGUGUCGUCACCAAUUAUUUUCCUUGCUAUUAUUGUUGGAAAGCAUGGAAAAUUCUCAUAGGGUCGUUUGGUUUUGUCUUUGACUGGAAGAUGUCAAUAACGAGAGAUUUGGCAAAUUAAAGUGUUUGUAUAUGUUUCCUUUUUGGUAUAUAUACUGUUGCUUUUCUUGGAAAUUAUUGCCACGCCCUCAUUUUUUUAAUCUGUUGGUUUUUCUUUCUGUGUUUUCUUCCUUAACAUGACUGCGGUGGAAGGAAAGAUUCAGCAUGGUUAGACGUUUAGUUAUAAUUUUGAAUUGAUUAAUGUCCAGUGUUUUAUGUGAACAUCGCAUUGGAGUUGUUUAUGCAUAUUCAAAUGAGUUUUGGCCUUGAGUGGAACUGUAAGGUGGCAUGUAAUCCUCAUUGUAGUUUUGCUCUUUUAAUAUUGUUGGAUUGUUACCCAUGAUUCUCUUUCCCUUUUUUCAUUUAUGGAGGCUCUGAUAUUCCUAUAAUUCAUAUUAAAGAAGUGCAGAUUAAAAAAACAAAAGAAGAGAUAAAGCAGUAUCUCAUUAUGAAAGCUACACUCUUAUGUAACAUUGCUGAAGAGGACGACUUGCACCUUGGAUUGCAAGUGCCAGAUUAGAAUCAGGGAUAUUUUCGAGCUGCUUACAAAGCAUUAGAAUCACGUUCGUCCACAUCUGUCUAUUGUAUUUAAAACUUUUAAUAAUGUUUCUAAAAUUUUUCACAAUAAUAUUAAAUCUCAAAUAAUUAUAAUAAUAAUAAAAAACACCCUUCUCGUCGUUACUAAAACGAGGUUGAAAACGACUCUCUUUAUGCCUCCUGAUUUUACCAAGAGAUUGCAGUCCAAAAUGGUAUCCUCAACAGAUUGCUUAUUCUUUAACUUAGGCUGCGUAUUGCUUUGCAGAAGCUUGUGAUGAUAAUUUUCCUGCAUUUGUUAACAAGUCGUGCAAGUAUAGGAAUGAUGCAAAUUUUUUUUAAAAAAAAAAAUAAAUUUCAAUUUCCUCACCUAGCUAACAUCAUUAUAUUUGUCAUGAAUCAUAUCUACCUACAAAUUAUUAGUUUGUAAGUGUUAACAUAUACUUGGUACUUCUGUGAAGGUGAUAGUAAAGGCAAAUAAUAUUGCAGCAGUUAGAAGGUAAGAAUUCACUGCUCAUGCUAUAAUUUAAGAGAGAACAAGAGGAGAAACAGAUUAAGAUAAUUACGACUAAAAUGUUUGAGCAGAUGAAUGACAGGAGCUGACAAGUGUUGACACAACCCUACCUUUUUUUUUUUUCACAACCCUACUUAACCAGGUGAAGUUAGUAAAGCAAGACAUGCACAAUUAAUUAGUAGGGUGAUCCGUUUGAAAGAUCAGCUUAUAAAGCUUAGACUGAAGGGUAGCUGAUGAAUUGAGUCUGGAUCAACUUGACAUUUGUGCAUAGCAAACGUCUCUGCAACAAUUAAUCAUAGUAAUAUUCUGCUGGAUGCACUAAUAAUAAUCCAAUCUUCGGUGCAUGGAUCAAAUUCAAAUGACGUUUUCACGCAAUGCUCUUUCCCAUCCUUUUUUUCCCCCAAUCCUUUAUACCCAAGUAAAUGAUGAAAAUGCUAAUGGCAGUGAUCAUAGGUAAAUCAUCAUUUUUAGAGAAAAAAAAAGAAAGAAAAAAAAAAAGCAACUGUUUAUAGCCAUUUCUGUACAUUCAGUGUACUCUACGGAUAGAGGAAUACAUGCUACCUCUUCUUUCAAAUAAGGCAAAAUCAACGAAGGCGCUGUUGGACAGGGCACACAUGCACCGGCUGCCGUAGAGAGAGUGGGGAAUCAGUUCCUUCCAAUCUGCAUUUAUCAGAAGAAAACCCACUAGGCAAGUAUAUGAAGAUGAGGAAAAAGCAGAAGGCGGCAUAAAACUUGAGGAGAAACGGAGAUCAAGUAUCAAAACUUACCACCUUAAGUAGCAGUAUUUCUUUCCUCAAAAAGAUAAAUAUUUCUUUAACUCUAGCUGAAGCCUGCAUAUCAAUCUCAAUAAGGGCAAAUCAAACAAGAAAUUAAGGGUGAAUUUAAACCUUCAGUUUAGUUCACCAAUCCUUUGUAAGAAGAAUGUAGAAGCAUUGUUCUUCCGCAUAAAUAAAAAAACCUACCUGACAACCGGACAUGAAAAACAUCUCAGAACAUCCAGUUACAUUUUCUGAUAUGUCAAGUCUGUAUCAUCAAAAUACAAAAUUUAGCAUCUGUCGAAGGCUUAAAAAGGCAUCCAUUUGGUUAUAUUACCUCCAGCAUACAAACCAUCAACUAGCACAGCAGGUGCAGAAACAAGAUAUGGAGAAAAGAGGAUGCUAGUAGCUACAACAUUCAACUAGAGUGCAUAAUAAUGCAUACUAGUAAACACGAAGAGAAUGACAAUUAAGAGGCACAAAAAUAUCGUGACCAAACAAGAAUUUAAAUAUGACAUCAGACUAAACUAGCAAACAAGCCAAGCCCAAUGGUGAAAAUUGAAAGAUCUAUAAAAGCAACAUAACCGACUAAAACAUGAGUUGGUGUGAGCUACAGCUAAGCACAAAGCAUUCUUUGUACUACCAAAAGUGUUGCAGGACUACGAAAAAUAGCAAUGAGUGUAACAGUGUGUCGGCAAAACCAGAAACUGGAAUCAAGAGUGCAACAUUCUAAUCAUUGCAAUUGAAACAAACUUGAUGCAGUGCCACUGCCGAUAUAUUGUCAAGCACUUCCAGCUCGAAUUUUGACAAACAUAUUGCAGUAAAAUUGCCAAAAGCACUAUUGUCAUAUUCUUCAUAUUUGGGGCUAGACCUAGAAGCAGACAGGCUGCAACAGACAGUACAGGCAUAAAAGCUUGAAAAACCAAGAAUGUAACAUGUUACCAAUUUGACAACAUUUGAUUGGUCACAUGAUACAAAUAACAAAAAUGAGUAAUUCAAUCUGAUGGCACUUGGGAUUCUUGAUACUGAAUGCACUUUCACUGGAAGAGUACGCUUUCAGCUAGUGAGCAAUUGACCAUAGUCUUAAUCUUCUAUGACACCAGUUCUAAUAGAAAACAAAUAACUACUGCAACUUGAAAAAAUAGUUUGUUCACCCAAAAGAGAAGAACAAAGAAGCACACAAAUAAAUAAAAUAAAAACAACAUGAAACAACAUUGUUUCACUGUAGUUACGAAUAUGAACAUAGAAGAAGUAAUCAUUAUAACAACCACCAUAUGGAAACUACUGAUUAUAACAUCUAAACCAAUGUACAUACAGACAAAAAAGGACUAAUCUUUUCAUCAAUAAAAUCCCAUUGGGCUCUGUCUUCCUCGGAUAUGGUAAGGCUAAGAACAAGAAUCCUGCACCUCAGGAUGAGCAGAAAUUACCAGAAUAACUGAUAAAUAAUUUAAGUAGCUCUUAUAUUUUUGAUUGAUCUUAUAAUUGCUCUAAAAUAUGAAUAUCCUACAUCAAAUUUGAUUUUUAUUCCAUGCAAUUGUGAACAGCGAUAAUACUAAAUUACAUAUUUUUUUCUGUCCUUGCAAAAUUUUGUAGAACUCUUGAAUGAUUUAACAUGCUUUAUCUGUUACCAUUACAGGAAUUGGUUGGAACCAUGAAUUAGAUCAAACCCUUUCCUAAACAUCUCAUCUAGCCAUCUUUGAGCCUCAUCUGUCCUUCCAUGCUUCAAAAGGCCAUGUACUAGGAUAUCAUACGUCCACCGAUUAGGUGCAUAACCUUUCUGACAUAGCCUAUCAAACAACUCAAGAGCAUCAUCCAUCUUACUCAUGCUUAGCCUCCUCAACAAUAUAUUGUAUGUGUAAAGGUCAAGUGGGAAGCACUGCUCAAUUACUUCUUCCAAGUUGUCAAUUUGUUGGGUCAGUCGAACCCGACCAGAAAACAGACCAAUGAGUUGGCCAAGGGCAUAAAUAUUGGGAGAAAUCUCAUUCUGCAUCUUACUCACUUGAACCCAAGCAUCAUAAAGCUCUUCACUUCCCAAGGAAUGCAACAAAAGAAUGUUACCUAUGAAGGACGUAACAUGGCGCCCAGCUUUCUCCAAGUCAAUAAUAACAUUUACGGCCAUUUCAUAUUGUUUAUUUGAGCACAGCAGCUUUAUAAGCUCCUCAUAGCAUUCAACGCUAGGAACCACUCCAUUGCUCCGCAUUUCCCUCAGAAAUUCCAAUGCAUGAUCCACUCUGUUGACUUUACAAAGACCACCAACCAUGGUGUUGUAAAGCUUUCUGCCAACCUUUCUUCUGUGACGCAAAUCAUCAAAGAAAUUUAGAGCAUCAUAUAUUCUCUCACUCUUUAUAUAACUUUGCAACAUAAGAAUGUCAGAACUCAGAUUAGGCUCAAUCCCACUUCUCUGCAUAAUAUCAAAUACUUCUCUGGCUAGUUCAGGCUUCUUUGCAUGUCCAGCUCCAUCAAUGAAGAAGUUAAAAAUCUGACGGUUAGGUUCGUGAGAAGAGAGUUGCACAUCCAACAAUUUGAAGAAUUGAGUUUCUGGGUUUUGCAUAUUACAGAAACUGCGAAUUACAGCUCUAAACAAAGUCCGAGUACCCAUAUGACCCUUAUCCUGCAUUUCAAUUAGAAGCCUAGCAGCAAUAUCCCCCUUGUUUAAUUUGUUAAAACCAUGAAUCAGGUUUGAGUAAAUAGUCUUUGUAGCAACUCUAUUCGAUCUAUUAAAUUCUCCUUGCAUCAAGUAACCAUCUUCUACCUUCCCAGCCCUACAUAGAGCUGAUAUAAACUUAUUGUACAGGGAAUCACUUGGCUUGAAAUUCCGCUCCAGAGAAAAAGAAACCAGCUCUUUCAUCAUGUUAAGCUUCCCUUCUCUACACAAUCCAUCUGCAAGUAUGGACAAUGUUCUGCUACCAGGGAAAUAACCUGGCUCAGUACAAUUCUUCAACACACUGUAAGCCUCAUCAACGUUCCCCUCUUCACAUAGAGAGUUUAUGAGAUAAUUACGAGCCAUGCUACUAGGUGAGAGCCCAAACUCUGAUUUGCAGUUGUACAAUUCAAGUGCAACACCUACCAUUCCAGCUUUGCAAAAAAAACAUAAUGCAGCAUUAAACGUGACCUCAUCAGCAGAAACCCCACUCUCCAUCAUCUCCAUCAACAAAUCACACGCUUCCGCAAGACGGUUCUCUUUUAAGACCCUCCACAGCAAAGCAUUGUACCGGAAAGCCCCAGGAAUAUAACAUUCUAAUGCCUUCUUCCGCUGCAAGAACUCCAAAGCCGCAUCAAUCUUACCAGCUUGAACAAGAUUCUUAAGCCACAAGCUAUAUGCAGGCUCCAUGGGCACCAACUCCAACUCCCUAAUCUCCUCAACCAACUGCCCAGCCUUGUCAAAUUGACCAUUUUGACAAUGUGCAUCCACAAUAACCCCCACUGCAUCCCCAUGGCUACACCCAUCGCAGUGUAAGAUCACUCGACGCAAAUAUGACUCGGCCUCAUCCAACAGUUUCUGCUUACACAAACUCUUAACUACUAUACAAUGCGUUAUAUGGUUCUCGAGGCCCCUCAGUGAAAUCUGCUUGGCAAUACAGUCAGCUGCAUCAAAAUAACUCUCUUCGACCAAAGAAUUGAGAAGUACAUGGUAAGCAAAGUCAUCCAAGUCAAGACCCUGAAAUCGCAUUUUACUGAAUAGUUGGAGUGCAACUUGCGGCCUGCCAGCAACAGAGUACCCAAUGACCAAAGUACCGUAAAAACCAUAACCGCACUUAUUAUGAACAAACCUAGAACCCUUAUAAUUAUCAAGGAAAUCAAGCAUAAGAGGCAUAAGCUUGCCCUUAGAGAGGAUCUUGAAAAUGGCGUGGAAGGUAGCACGAGUGUGAUAGAACCCACGUUGACGACCAGCCCAGUCGAAGAACUUAAGGCAAGAGAGGACAUCAUUGUUGGCAUUCCCGUGAUAAAGCACAUCAAGUACCAAUGAUUCAGUGAGGCGAAGGCCCAACUUUGAGAGGGCAAUCUCAUCCACCUCAUCUUGGGAGCUUAAAAUCUCGAAAACUCGAUCCAAGUAAUCAGGGUUUUUGCGCUGAAACCAUUCCUUAAAGGAUUGGACAACGUCCUUGUAAUUGAAGCUGAGAUGUUGAAUUGGAAUAGCAUGGGCAGUCGAAUAGGAAUAAUGAAAAAAGUAGAAGAAUUGUUGGUUAUUCAGAUUCACACGACUGAAGAGAGGAGCCGCAGCAGCAGCAGCAGAAGCAGAAGAAGAAGAAGAUACAGAAAAGAUAGUGGUGUUUUCGAAGAGAAGUUGUGAGGCAAGUAAAGCCUUCCUUGAUUUGGCUGGUAGCAUCGGCUCUUUUACGUUAGAUUUUUUUGAGCGGUGUAGAGGAUUUGCCUGCGGCUCCUCCUCGUUUUUGUUCUUGAAAGCCCAGCUCUCUUCUUACGCCGGCUUCCUCCUCUAACCAUUAGACUUUCCACCUUCCUUNNNNNNNNNNNNNNNNNNNNNNNNNNNNNNNNNNNNNNNNNNNNNNNNNNNNNNNNNNNNNNNNNNNNNNNNNNNNNNNNNNNNNNNNNNNNNNNNNNNNNNNNNNNNNNNNNNNNNNNNNNNNNNNNNNNNNNNNNNNNNNNNNNNNNNNNNNNNNNNNNNNNNNNNNNNNNNNNNNNNNNNNNNNNNNNNNNNNNNNNNNNNNNNNNNNNNNNNNNNNNNNNNNNNNNNNNNNNNNNNNNNNNNNNNNNNNNNNNNNNNNNNNNNNNNNNNNNNNNNNNNNNNNNNNNNNNNNNNNNNNNNNNNNNNNNNNNNNNNNNNNNNNNNNNNNNNNNNNNNNNNNNNNNNNNNNNNNNNNNNNNNNNNNNNNNNNNNNNNNNNNNNNNNNNNNNNNNNNNNNNNNNNNNNNNNNNNNNNNNNNNNNNNNNNNNNNNNNNNNNNNNNNNNNNNNNNNNNNNNNNNNNNNNNNNNNNNNNNNNNNNNNNNNNNNNNNNNNNNNNNNNNNNNNNNNNNNNNNNNNNNNNNNNNNNNNNNNNNNNNNNNNNNNNNNNNNNNNNNNNNNNNNNNNNNNNNNNNNNNNNNNNNNNNNNNNNNNNNNNNNNNNNNNNNNNNNNNNNNNNNNNNNNNNNNNNNNNNNNNNNNNNNNNNNNNNNNNNNNNNNNNNNNNNNNNNNNNNNNNNNNNNNNNNNNNNNNNNNNNNNNNNNNNNNNNNNNNNNNNNNNNNNNNNNNNNNNNNNNNNNNNNNNNNNNNNNNNNNNNNNNNNNNNNNNNNNNNNNNNNNNNNNNNNNNNNNNNNNNNNNNNNNNNNNNNNNNNNNNNNNNNNNNNNNNNNNNNNNNNNNNNNNNNNNNNNNNNNNNNNNNNNNNNNNNNNNNNNNNNNNNNNNNNNNNNNNNNNNNNNNNNNNNNNNNNNNNNNNNNNNNNNNNNNNNNNNNNNNNNNNNNNNNNNNNNNNNNNNNNNNNNNNNNNNNNNNNNNNNNNNNNNNNNNNNNNNNNNNNNNNNNNNNNNNNNNNNNNNNNNNNNNNNNNNNNNNNNNNNNNNNNNNNNNNNNNNNNNNNNNNNNNNNNNNNNNNNNNNNNNNNNNNNNNNNNNNNNNNNNNNNNNNNNNNNNNNNNNNNNNNNNNNNNNNNNNNNNNNNNNNNNNNNNNNNNNNNNNNNNNNNNNNNNNNNNNNNNNNNNNNNNNNNNNNNNNNNNNNNNNNNNNNNNNNNNNNNNNNNNNNNNNNNNNNNNNNNNNNNNNNNNNNNNNNNNNNNNNNUUCAUCAAAAACCAUUUGAAGUUGAAGAUCGUUAACUCAAUUAUUCAAUUUGGCUUAUAAUGUCGCACUAGGAAAAUAAAGACGAUCAAGAGAAUGCAGCGAUGAUAUUACUUGUAUGUAUGAAGCAUCUCGGAAGAUGACACUCUCCAGAAAGGAAAAAAAAGAAGCACAUCACUAAAUCAAGUUCCAAACUUUCUCUUCUUCAAAACUUUAUCAACUUGUUCAAAAGACAAGUGUAAAAUUCCAUGAGAAUGCAAGUAUUUUGUUCCAUUUUCACUACUGGAUGAAACUACCUGCAAAUGGUUUGCCUGCUCCCUACACACUUUUAACAGCUUAAUGGUCUCUCUAAUACAAGGAAAAAACACAUCAGGGCGAACACAAAAUGGUUGAAAAACUAGAAAUAACGCCUGCAUAUCAGCUUCAAAUUGAUCAAUCCCCCCACCGGAAAACUGGAUAUCACUAGAAAAAACGCUGCUCGAAAUGAACUGGUCAAGCCCAUCAGUAACGCUUCUCCACAAAUCCAAGAAGUCUUUUGGAUUAAGAUUUGACUUGAGAACGUUUAGCUGAACUUUAAUAGCAUCCAGUGCUUGGAUGAUAUCAACUGAUACUGCUAAAUCCACGGCUGCUGUAAUUCUAUUUGUAGUAAAAUUUUCUUGCUCUUCUUCAAAAUAUCUUUUGUUUUGCAGAUAUUCACAGGAAUGAGCUUCAAAAUGACGUAGCAGAAAGCAAAUUAUCUCCAAGAGCCAGUUAGUCUCAAGCUCCAACAGACUUUUAAUUUCUUCCCCAAAGAAGCUACUGUUGUCAGCAAGAUCACCAUUUCCAUCGAUAACAUCCCUUUCAGCAAUUCUCAUCUCUAAGAAGUUAACAUCAUCGCUCCACUCUUGCAGCUUGGAUUCAACAUAUCUGGCAGCAUUGAUUGAUCCGCACACUUUAAUUAAGGCAUCAUUUGGACAAUCGAGAAGGAACUCGGUGUUCUUGCAACGCAAAACCAAUACAUUAAGAAAAUGCCAGAGGAAUCGUCCAGCAGUUGAUUUGAUAAAUUGAAUAUGCGAAAAAAUAGAAGGCAAAGUUCUGCAACGUUCAAUCAUUUCCCAGGUGAUUUUAAGGACAGAAUCAGCUACUAAGGGAGCUUUGUAGUCCUCUCUAGUAAUGAGCAAAAAUUGUUCAGAUUCCUCACUGUUUUGAAAGUCAACCCCAGAUUCUUUACCAGUUGACCAAGCUUUCUCAUCUUUCAGUUCAAGUUUUAUUUUCUUCCAGGCAUUCUUGAGCUCUAUUUUUGCCCAAAUCUUAAGCCAGUCUGGCCUAUCACAAAAUAUCAUUAAUACUGAUAGACCCCUUGAGUCUUGUCUUUCAGACUCCAAGAAGAAAUGAAUUUCUGAAUUUACAAGCGAUUGCAUCCAUUUAUCAAAAGUGACAGCAUGAUCUAUCAAGUGAAGCCAUGAGGAUAUAACUUCCAGUUUCAUGUGUUUCUCCUUGUACUUUUCGGCAAGAUCAGAAACAACUUUUGCUAAAAACCCAGAAAGCAUCUGGAUCAUUGCAGAAACCCAAGCUUCUCUAGCGCUGUAACUCACCAAUCUUGCUCUGUCAAUCAAAGGCUGCAAAACAUCAUCUAUUCCCACAAUAAAGUCUCUUGUUAUCUUAUACACGAGAGCAAACAUGAAUUCUGGCUGUUCAGCCCAUUUACGGAAGUGGUAUUCCACUUGUGAUGCAAUUGGUGAAACAAGUUCAUCAAUGGCCCAAAGUCUCAUACUGCACUCCUUCCGUCCAAAAAUGUUAUGCUGUCGAUCUUCCCUCCUCAUCUGCAGAUGCUGCAAAGCACAAAGACCUAUAAAACUUAGGGAAUAAUACUUUCUUUUGUCUCCUUCCAUCAAAACAAGUGGAUUAGGAAGGCAGGCAAUUCCUCCACUAUCAACUGUUGACUUCAAAAGUUUAGGUGGCCAGCCUAAAGAAGCAAGAAGAGCACGGUGAUCAGCAAGAACUUGAGGCCGAACAACAGCUAAAAUUUUCUCUACUCUGAUAUCAACAGACUCCAAAAGUUGGGACCAUCGAGGAUGAAAUAUGACAACAUCAACCAAUAAAUCCUCAAUGUUGUUCAUCAGUUUAAUGGCUCUAUGUAGCCUCUCUUGCUUUGGACCAAAAUCCUGCAUUUAAAGCACAUAUUCAAAUUCUGUGAUAGACUAUCUAACCUAAUUAGCAUGCUGAUUGAAGUAUGGGGAAAACGAGAAAGAAGUCUUUACGGUUGAAAUUAGUGAAGUCAUAAACUUUGCUGAAAACAUAUUCCGAGCGUGAGAAUCUCCAAUACAGUAAACUGCAUCCUCAAGAUCUCCAACCAGAGCUUCCAACUGUAGUGCAGUAUCUGAAAUAAUUAACACUUAAGCUUAGAUGGCUGCCUCCUAAGCCAAGGUAAAAAAUGGCCAUUUCUGACACAAUAUCUAAUCUCAAAAUUGAUAGAGCCUAGUAUAAAAUGUAUUUAGAAAACUAAGAGAUAUUAACCUCAUGCAAUAAAAGACCAUUAGGAUAAAUGGUAUUGCCAGUUCAUAAAACUCUUGAUUUGCAAGGGUCAAGAGAGGAGCAUCUAUUGUACACAGCCUUUCUCAUGCAUUUUGCAAAGGGGCUAUUUUCAAACCCCAGUCAUAGAGAUGAUUGGGCACAACAAACAAAGAGAUGCACAAACUUGCAUAAUCAUAAUAUCUAGUUUGGAGAUAAAGAGUAAUAUUUGGAACUAUAGUAGUUUAACAAUAAUAAGAAUCUAAUUGGGAUGUCAAGGAAAACUAAAACAUCUUUCACCUUUAACAAGCUAUAAUUACUUAUAGUUUCAAAGAACAGGCAUACAAUAAUUUAAGGCAAUGAAAUAGCUGAAUCAUUAUAUCAAGAUCAAUGUGGAACUUCAGGAACAAUCAGGAAUUUCGUUAAAAUGAUGGUCACUCAAGUUUCCAUUCAACUUCAUUUAAUAAUACCAGGAAAAACUAUCAAGUGAAACAAAAGCUCUCACACUAAGAUUGUCUGAGCAUCAGUGAGUCGAGCAAUAAAAUCAUCUCCAAAACACACCAAUUUGGUUGAUAGUGAGAAUAGAAGGUUUCGUGAAUUUGAAACCUCCAUAUGCCUUAAUAUCUUCUUUAAAAUCCAUUACUUAAACCUUUGCUCCAAACAAGACGCUCACGUACCCAUUACUUUGAAAAUAAUCAUUUCCCUCCAAAAACUUCAUCCCAAACAGAAGCUUACUAGCAGAAAUUAGUCAAUAUACAUGGAGAAAUUCUGAAAUAUUCUCUUGACAUAAAGUUUACCGGUGAGACCCAUGUGACUUGUGAGUGUGAGGGGAUAGAACGUUGUACCGAGUGCACUAGGUUGUUCCCCGAAUGCCUCGUGACUCCAUUACCAACCAAGAAAAUCUUUUUUUUUUUUUUGCUGAAAAUCGGUAACAAAAUAGAAACACAAUAUGAAAUCGAAACUCACCCACGUAUCUGCGAAUAUUUUCAAUUCGUUUCAGGCAUUUGGCAAGUUGAGGUAACUCCUCACCCAGAAUCGUCUGAAUUUUCCUUGAACAAACCUCAUCUACCAAAAACAGCAUAAAACAAUGCUCAGUUUAUUAAUUUAAAGAACAGCUUCAAUAUCCCAAACACCAUAAGAUCAAAUGGCUAACAUUUGGAGGUGUGAAGACUGAGAUUCUCCAACAUGAUAUUAAGAUUGGAAACCGAUGAUUUAGCUCCAAAAGAGCGAGAAAUCCACGAAACGGUGCGUUUGGUUAGAUUUCUCUGAAGGUUCAGGAAACUAGCUUCCAAAUCGGCUAAGUUUGUUGUCAAAUCGGUUAAAAGAAGCGGAGCUUUGGCGUGAAGAUCUUCAUGGUUCCCCAAAUGCUGAUCCAGAAAAUCUCUGUGGCCCGAUGAGAGCUCAGUUUGCCUGGGCAGAACUCCGAAAGGGGGCGGUGGCGAUGGCGGUGGCAUUGGUUGAAAUUCACUGAUGCCAGCACGGGGACGCUACGCUAGUACCGGAAUCAAGAUGAAACGUUCGGUUUAAUUGCAAAUAUGAAAGAAUAUGUUGAACUGACACGAUAAAAAAAAUGUUGAACCGAAAUUUUUUUAUUUAAAUUAAUAAAACUUUUUAUUCACGAUAAUAUUUUAUAUUUUGAAAUAAAUUUAUUUAUUUUUUUACCAUGAAACCCCAAAUUGCAAAAGGGCACAGAUAUUAGGGGGCAAAGCCUUAAGAAAAUUCACCAAGCCCAAAACCCAUAAAUCAGAUGAAUCCAUAUCCACACUCAUAUCUGGCGUGACCCAUCCAAUAAUGGUUUCUACAAGUAGCUUCCAACAGUGCCCUCUCAUCGACCCACAACCAAAUGUUGCUCUUCACUGCCUCGAUCAACGCCGAUAAAACCGCGCCGAUCGCACCAGAAAAACCCUAAACCGAUUAACAACAAAACAUAAAAAAAACUACUAAGCGAUCCAAACAGCCAGAAAAUAACGGUAAUCAAGCUAAACAAUAAAAUCAGAGACAACAAUCAAUUAAAAACAACAAAAAAUCAGUAUGUAAACCUGUAAAUCAGGACACCAAAAUAAAACACAGAACCCAGUGAAACAGCAUCUAUAACCACCAGAAAAAGUUAAUUUACGGCGAUUUCAAUUUCAGAUACCCAUGAAACCACGGUUUGAAGCACUCUCCUCGCUCACCAAUCCCAUCGCGGACAGAAGCAACAUAACUUCUAAGUUAUGUUUUUUUAACUCAAAAUAAAUUUACAAGUUAUCUUUAAAUUAAAUAAAUAUAAUUUUAUUAAAUUAUCAGUAUAUAAUUAUAAAUUAUUAUUUCUAUUUUAAUAUUAAUUAAAUUCACUAAUAGUUUUAAACUUUUAGCGAGUAUAAUUGAAUAUAAAAAUCGCAUGAUAUCAAUUAGAUACUUGACCAUAAAUCAAAGUUAAAACUUUAUUUUAUAAAUAAAAAGGUUAAUUUAUUAAAUUCUGAAAAGGAUGAGAGUAUAAGAAAGCCAGCUUGAUUAGAAAAGUCUCAACUAAAACUCCAAUCCAAGCCUAUAUUAAAGAGAUACCCAUGGGCCAAACAAAAGAAAUCUCAAGCUAAUCGGGUAGCUCGAUCUAAGCCCAACUUCACCAAACACACUGAAGCUCAGCUCCACCUCCAAUGAAGAAGCAUAGCCAGUAGCCACUCAGAAGCUACCUUCGGCGAAAAUAACAAGAACAGGAACCAAGCAAGGGCUACAAAUAAUUUCCCCACUGCAAUAUCCUCUCGCAUCUCCUGCGUACUUUGAAAUCUAUCUACCCUCUUUCUCUAUCUAAUAUUUUAUCUCACUGUAUAAUAUAUGGUUCGUUUUGGUGAUUAAUCCUUCUAUAUUUGCAUUUAAAUUGUGCACGGGAAGGAAGAAAAGUGGACGAUUCAUCAAGCACCAUUGGGCCCUGUGUCGUCCUCAUUUGUAUCCUGUCGCUUCUGAGGUAAAAUCUUUAAGAGUUAUCUUAUUUCUUUGCAAAUGGAAGUUUAUUAUGGUCCCAUUACUUGAGGUUUCAGUUUGAUAUCCCGUAUUUCUCAACAUUUUCCAUAAUCCCAAAAAUUUUCAUUGUUCUUGACGUUUCUUGAAGAUUCCAGUUGAUUUCUUUCAACGAUUUAAUGUUGUGCAGUUUUAAGUGUAAUAUUCAUGUUUCCAUCAAUUACGUUGCUUCUGGGUCUUCUUCAAUCUGUUAAGUUUUUUCAGCAUCUUUGGGCUUUCUUACUGUACUUUCGAUUCUCUGUUUCUCUGACUACAAUCUACCCAGUUGGGAUUCGAAUUAUUUCUGGUUUACAGCUUGCAUGAACUAAUUUUAUUGUAAUAUUAACUGCAUGCUUUUCCUGUUAUAGGUUUUUGUGCGCUUUUAUGUCAAAUUAUACAUGUCUUUGGAUUUUUUUUUUUGUGAAGGGUCUUUUGUGAAAAACGAAGACUUAAAAAAGAAAAAUCUAUAAAGCUUCUGUAACUGUUAAAACUCUAUAUCAUUUCACUUUUCAUUCUCAACUUUGUGUUCUUAGUAUGUAAGCCAAAGUAGCUUAUAGAAUUUUAUGCAUUAGUGGAGCUAAUUCCAAAUUGGUGAAAUGACUUGUGGCAUGCAAAUGGAUGAAUAAGAAAAUUUUUGGUGGAACAAUUCAUGGAUAUGCUGCCAUAGUUUUGUGUAGCAAGGCAUUUUAGUUCAAAAUCGUGUUAGCUAGCAUUCAACAAAUAUGUGAAUAGAGAACAACCAGCAAAUGCUUUUUUUCUUCUUAUAAGAAAAAGAAAAGAAAAUAUCAAUUUUAAUCUAUGGUUGUAUAACUCGGUGCAUACUCAAAUCUGUCAUGAGAAGGGUUAUGGAUAGGAAAUGUGGUACUAGGCAUUGAAAUUGUCUGAUUCUUUGUUUAAUUAAUUAUAUGGGAAGGGGUAGGGCUGAUUUAGGUUAAGACCUUGUUUGGUUCAAAUGUGUUCUUUUCUGGGAAGUUACCUAACUUAACUAGGUUGGUAAGUAAGUUACUUUCCCUUUAUUAAGAAGAAAAACCCUUGAUUUCCCGGAAAAUUAAGAAGAAAUAUCAACCAAACAGAAAUAAUUUUUCACAUUUCCUAGGGAUUUUGAGUUAUCCCCAACCAAAUAAGACCUAAACUUUUGGGGGAAGUGGGGGACGCAUAAGUUUUACCUUAAUCUUUUAUAACCCAACCCAUAACAGCAUAUUUGCUCCCUUCAAUUUAGUCAGCUGCCUUCCUCAGCUUAAUUGUUGCCAAAUAUUCACAAAUUUUGUUGUUAAGAGCUAAAAAUCUCCUCAACUUAUUCAACCUAGACUAUCUUCACAUCCUCUCCUUUUUUUUUUUUCCUUAAUCUGUGUGCUUGAGAUAUAGCAAGUUCAAGGGACUAUCAGAGGGUGAAAUGGGAAACCAAAUGUUCAAAAAUGAACAGUGAAGUUGUUAGGAUCCACUUUAAUUAUUAUAGCAUUAGUAUAACUAUAAUAAGUAGUAAUGUUCUUUCUAGAAUUUAGAAUUGUAUUUGGACUAGACUAAUAGUUCAGUGAUUGAAUACUUACCUUGCCGUGUACUUGGUUGAGGAUUCAGACCCUUGCUUUUUGGUUUUCUCCCAUUUUGUCGUAUUGACGAAAAGGAUCUGAUCUAGUGCUCUUCUUGUGCUAUCAGAAUUCAGAGUUUGUAUAUUUGAUGGAUUUAUUUACACAUCUGCAAUAGAUAGAUCCGAGUUUUUUUGCUCCAUUUUUUAAGUAGUAGAGUUUCUAAUGCUUCAACAGUGGUCAAUGGUUCAUCUACUUUUUAUUUGUCCAUGGCAGGGUGGCUGUACAUUCUCUCAAAUGGAAGAUGACAUGAUAAUAGAUAAAAAGCGCAGAAAAAUUGCUUCCACUGAUUUUCUUUUACAGUGGAGCCAGUGGCAACUGCUUGAUUCCAUUCUUCCUACAGGUGGUUUUGCUCAUUCCUUCGGUCUUGAGGCAGCAAUGCAAGCACGCAUAAUCUUGGGUCAUGAAGAUUUUAAGAAUCAGGUGAUUCAUAUUUUGGAGAAUGCAGGAAGUUUGCUUCUUCCUUUUGUGUACUCUGCAACUCUCUCUCCGGAUUUGGAUACCUGGCAAAGGCUUGACAAAAUAUUGGAUGCAACUUUAACCAAUGAAGUAAGUCGAAAGGCAUCUAUUGCUCAAGGAUCAGCUCUCAUGAGGGUGGCUGCAGCUGUGUUUACUGAACUCCCUUAUCUUAAAGCCAUGAGAGAUGCAUGCAUUGGUUCUGGGGCUGUUUCUUUUCACCAUGCUCCCAUCUUUGGCAUGAUAUGUGGACUUCUUGGGAUGGAUAGUGAGACCUCUCAGAAAGCUUACAUUUUUAUCACAAUGAGGGAUGCAAUUUCUGCUGCAACAAGGCUUAAUUUGGUUGGACCCCUAGGUGCAGCUGUAUUGCAGCAUCAGCUGUGUGUGGUUGCUGAAAGUGUAUUGGAAAAGUGGAUGGACCAUACAGUUGAAGAAGCGUGCCAAACAGCUCCUUUGCUUGAUACUCUACAGGGCUGCCAUAGCUAUUUGUUUUCUAGAUUGUUUUGCUCUUGAUAUCUAAGGUAAGUGAGGGAGAAAUAAAUACUCUUCUUUGAUUAGUUUAUUAAGAAAAUCAGUGAGAAGUUUCUUAGAGUGGUUGAUUUUUUUUUUUUAAUAAUCUGGAAUGAAAUAUAAGAAAAAGAAUUAUAUAUCAUUAUUCCAUGAAUUCUGUAAGACUAAUCUAUUUUCCUUUAGAAAUGUUGUUUAAACGAAAAUAAAUUAUCAUUUAGUCAUCAAUUGAGACAUUAGAAAGGUUAACUACCAUAUGAGCCUUCUCCAUAUAUUAGCCUUGCAAACAAAGAAACCUUCUGACCCACUCCCUAUAUCAAUCUUCUAUGGAAAAUGUCAAUUUUUUAAUUGGAGCAUCUGCAUCUGACAAUGGCCUUUAUUAAUGGAUCUCAGCCUCUGUGUUAUUUAUCCUAUUAUGUUGGAGGAUUUAGAGUCUUAAUGGCGAUGGUAACAAUAUCAGUUUGACAGUCCUUUUUGCAAAGGGCUGUUACUUUCUAUUUAGGAGGAAGAUGCUUUGGCAUUUCGGCUACUCUCUCAUCCGCGUUUAAGUUUUGAUGAAUGAAUUUUUUUUUUUUCUGUGUUCGUUAGAUAUUCAAACUACUAAUAUAGUUUUUUUUUUUUUUUGAAAGAAAAAUCAAAGCUGAGAAUUUUUAGAAGGCAACUGAGAUUUAGCAGCUUGAUGCUUAGAAAAUCAGGAAACGAAUGUUGACAAUGUUCCAAUGGUUUAUAGUUAAUUCCUUCCAACUAUAAAUUACAUCACUAAGUGAACCCCUCGACCUGAAAGAGGGAAGAAAAUUGAAAGGAAUGAUAAUAAUUCCUGAAUUCUCUAGCAUCUAUCCUGUAUGUAUUAAACUAUAACUCAUGCCUAAACAAUAUGACGUUUACCAACUUCCUCGGGCAUGCUAUAUUUUUAAAGCUAAAAGGAAUGAAACUACAAUUCAACCUUAAUGACGUGAAAUUCACCUUCCUCAGGCAAGCUAUCCAAGCUAAAAGUAAGCAAAGCAGUGGAUGAAUCAUACACAAAAUCAACCACAUUGGAGUCCACGAUGCACUUCCUUGGCUUAGUUGCCGAAUAAGCACCAAACUUGCCACACCCUCUAAUCUCCAUGUACACUUCCCCAACCAAUUCAUUGUUGCAAUUCUCUACUCUCUCCUCACUCAGGAUACUGUUUUCACCCUUGUAUCCUUCCUCAAUCUCUGAUAGUUGCGCACCUCCUUUCACUUCAUAUUUAAGCCCCUCAAUGGCUCCACCAGCAUUGUACAUGGCUACGAGCCCAAAGGGUGCAAAGCUGAAUCCGGGUGCUAAAAUCUUGAUGGGUGUUACAGUGAAAAUAUCAUGCUCCAGAACUUUGAGUGACACCGGCAUUGAUACAUUGUAAGGGAGAAUGACGAGCUCCCCAGUUCGAUGGCCAUAAAUAGCAGUGUCACCGUUCCAGCUGGAAUCAGUGGCUGCUUCAGCUAUGAGAUGGACAUCGCGGCCCCUUAUGGCUCCUGUUAUAGCAUCAGAUUUGGUUUGGUGGAAUGUGUUCUUCCUCUCAACGCUGUUCCAGGCAGCACCUUGGCAAUUGUAGACUCCUAGGACCCCUGUGUAUUUGUUCAUGUUCCAUAUCUUCAACAAGCUGCAAUCAAAGAAUACUUUUUUCUGUUAAUAAAAUGUGCACAAACCUUGAGGAAAUAGAGGAAGGGAGUGUAGUCUAAUGUGAAAUAUCUCUUACCUAACACCAUCACGGGCUGGGUCAGAGCACAAACAGUCACGGGUAGGGCGGCCAGGCAAACGAGCUCGAAGAAUUGAGCCGUCAGGCAGGACCAGCUUCUUCAGUACCUUGAAGUCGUGCUUCCCGGGCUCAUCACUAGGAGCAAAAAUGGUCAUAAACUAUUAGCCAAGAGAAAAGGGCAUAAGGAUGGUUUUUAACAUUUUGUUUUGUUUCUGAGUUAAAAGACGAAAUACCUGACAUAGACAGGGCCACCGCUAAUGGCUCUAGCAGAUGCGUGAUAUUCAGCAGCUGGAUGGAGGGAAUGGAACAUAUCCCAAUCAGGCAGCAUAAAUUCUCCUAGAAAAACACUGUUGUAAGCCACUGCCGCUAUGUGGAUGGUAUGUGACACUGGGUCCCGCGGGAAGAAAUCAUCUGAUGCUCUCAUCACUGCCGUCUGUUUCGAGCUGUUUCAUGUACCCAAUAUUACAACAAAAAGAAGCUCAGUCAUUUAAUUGUUAAGAAUGGAAGGGAGUCAGGAAUAAGCCUAUCAAUUUUUCAAUAAUUCAUGACCAGUAAUUUAGUGAAAAAGGAGGGACACUCACCAAUAUAAUGCAUCAGUAUUAUGGCUCAUGCAAGCAAUGCACCCAUUAUCAGGGAAGUUCUUAGCCACAGAUGCAUCAAGAGCCUGAUGAUACUGCCUUGUCAACUCCACUCUUCCUCCCAAACCAGCACCUAGAGUCUCCAAUAUGCACUGCACGUCCACCUUAACCCCAUCUAUACCCGCAGAUGCCAAAUAACUAUGCAACUCAUUGUAAAAUGUGUGCACCUUCUUUGGAUUCACCAGCCCCAAUCCCUGCAACGCCAAUGCAUCAUUCUUCCAUGUUGGCUCAUUCUCCACCACCCCUUUUGACAACAUCGGGUACUUCAUCAACGACCCGUAUUUCUCCAUCUCCCUAGCUCCUGGACGGACCCCACCCCAGUAUCCGGUGAUCGCGUGCCAUACAUACACAUAUUUCAACCUGUGCUUCUGUUUCGCUAUGUUUACUAUGUUCUUUAUUCCAACCAUUGGAUCAUCUUUCUUUUGGAAUUUCGAAUUUUCUUUGAUCCCAGUCAACCUAAGCAACGGUUGCGGUUUGUUCUCUUUUUGAUCGUUGGAUAUGGUUUCCUCUUGCGGGUCACUACCAACUGAUUGCCAUCCAUCGUCAAUGAUCACGAAUUUUGGAAGGGUCCCACCAGCGGCCAAACUCUGGAGCCCAGCCUCCACCCCUUCUUGAGUCACUUCCUGGUAAAACGCGUCCCAGGUGCACCACCCAAAAUAAUCGACGAUCCCAGGCAAUUUUUUCUCGUGCCGUUGACGAAAAGUUUUCAAAUGUAACUUAACCUCUCUUAUCGCAUCAGUAAUCGUAGCAAACGGAUCCGUACCGGCGUGAAUGAACAGAGAGUGUGUAAACGACGACGCUUUGGUGUCAUCAUCGCCACUUUCUAAACAAAGCUCGAGCUCAUCGUUCGUGUUUCCCUGUAAACAAGCUCUGAAUGAUCCUUCAAUCAAAGGAAGGAAAACGGUGUAAAUGAUCUGAUUCUCUUCGUUUCCAUCGUCCGAUUCGAGCUGGGACCCAUCCUUAGUCUCAACUAGCAAAAAUUGUGUCUCCAGAGGAAUGUCCCUUCCGUGAUCUCCCAUUUUCUGGGCCAUCCACCAAAGCUUGAAACGGAAGCAGGCCAUGAACCUGACGUCACGUAAAGUUCCCAAAGGCACCACAUGCCGGCUAUUUUCCCCAUCGAAAAAUGCUCCGAGAAAGACUCCAUCCACCGGACCGGAAGACGAACCGGAUGUUGCUAUCACAUUCUCCGGUACUCCACUCAGGAUUGUGCGAUCCUUCACAAUUAGUUUCCGAUCUAAGAUUCGUACCGCCGAUUUGAUCGUCAUUUCUUCUAAUUGAUCCUCUUUCUUAAAUGCCGACAAAGAUAAUGCGCGAUGCGAAAAAUACUUGCGACCUAGAAGACAUAAACAAAAGAAUCAAACUUGGUGAGCAACUCAAUUUCCCAGCAUCCAAACAAAAAUAAAAUGGAGAAAAGAGAAUACUAUAAAUAGAGCGCCGGUUCUUGAUCGUCGUUGUGGUUGAGAUGUUAAGAAAGAAGGAAGAAUAUGAUUGAAUUGAAGGAAAACGAGAUAGAUGGGUGAAAUUUACAAGAGAUUCGGGAUUAAUUCUGGAAAAACAUGAUUUUGAAGUCAUCGUUAGUGCGUGAAUUUUAAGUUGUGCUUGUGCUGUUGAUGGUGUGCUCUUAUUGGCUGAGCAUACCCAAUCCUCAGACUGGUGGUUGAUUGUUCAAACUGCGAAGAUCGGAUUGCCACAUCAGAUCCACGCUGUACCAGUCCAAAACUUGAGCCUACACGUUUUUUUAAAAAAAAAAUUCUCUCUCCUUUUUGUACGCUUCUUAGACGAAUGAAAAAUUGUUCCAAAUUUCUUCUUUUAAUUCGAAGUUGUAGUGUUUCUGCAGCUGGUAAGGACUUCGAUAACAAAGAAAUGAAACAGAGAGGAGGGUAUGAAAAUAUACCUAGACAGAUAGAUUAAUUAAGAAGGAUGGUAAUCGCUGGCUGCUUUUCUUGAAAUGCCUUGUUGUUGUAUUGUGGGUUGAUGUGAAUGAAUAUUAUUGGGCAAGUGAAAUGCGAAGUGAGGGUGCGAGCUCAGAAGUGUGAUAUCCGUAGAGGACUGGGGUUGGGAUUCCUCUAAUUUAUAUUCGAAUAUGGGUAUGCAAAAUCAUUGAUUCUGGACAUCUCCAAUUGUAUGGUCUUGUCUCUGUCCGACCUGCUUUUGUUAAUAAUUAACUGCAACUUCGACAGGGUUAAUUGUGCUGAUAUGUUUCCACGCACUCGCUUUUGACCUUUUCUUCCUGAUUCAAACACGAGUUUGCUUCAAUAGUUAUCAUCCCACGUGGUGCCUGGAUGGUCUGAUAUGUCAUUGGAUUGCUGAUAGUAUCCGCCAAAAUCGUCCUAUCAAAUCUAUAUUUUUUUGAUAUUUUUAAUGUCUAUAAUAUAGUAAUUUUUUAAAAAUAAAUAAUUUUUAAAUAUUAUUUUUUUUGUUAUUAUCAAUUUUAAGUGUGAGCUGUAAUCUGGUCAUCACCACCUUCAUGAUGGUAAUCUUUUUUCUAUACAGGACUUGGUGUCAACUUGAUACCUUUCUAAAUUGUAAUGGUAAUUGUAAUCGUACAAAUUGUAAUGGUAAUUAUAAUCGUAAAGCUUCAGGUUUGAAAGUGAUUGAAAGGGUUUAAUAUUAGAAAUCAAUUAAUCAUUCAAUCUUCUAAUUUUAGAUAAUCACUAUCUUCUGUAGCGUGACUUGUAUGCAUGGGCUUCUGUUCUAAUGAUGUUAACAUUGUUGUUUAUUAUUAUGAAUACAAAAUUAUCCUUUUCAUUGAAUUUUAGAUGAAAUUUAAUUAUGUUAUUAUUUUAAUAUUAUUAAAUUAAGAUGUAAGCACACAAAUAUUUUUUAGAAAAUUUAACAUUUAAUAUGAGUAUCUACCCAUUAUUAAUAUAGAUAUCCUCAUCCAGUGGACAAAUUAGUUCAAUUUUCUAUUUAAUAUAGUCGCAUUUAAGAAAUUCCUCUAAUAUAUAUUUAUUAACUAACACCUGACUAAAAUUUAAUUAAAUAAUAAAAAAUUACUAUUUCACUCCAUAAGGAAUGUUAGUGAACUGCAUAUUCUUAGUUUCAAAAAUUAAAAUUUUAGUGUUUAUAAAAAUAAAUUAAACUGAAUUUAAAUAGAAAUUAAAUUAAAUUAAUUUAAUUUAAUUCGAUUUAAUCAGUUAAAUUUUUAAUAAAUAUUUUUUAUAUAUCAUUUUUAAUAUUUUAAAAUUUAAUUAAAAUAUUUUAAUAUUGAUUAUAGUCUAAUUUUUUUAUAUUAUUAAAAAUAAUAUAUAAUUAUUACUAAGCGAUUAAUAUUAGAGAACUUUUUUUUAAUCACAGUGGUUAUAUGUUUUUCUUUUGGCUUGUGUGGUGUUUGAGGUGUUAUUUUUUAUAGUUAAGAGUUAGUUGCUUAGGAUUUCAUCGGCAGCCUUCUUGCCUCCGUUUGGGCGUUUAGGCUUUGUAGUAGCAAUACCAAAAUUGCCUCUUCUCAGCAAAGGCCUUGGCCAAUAACUAUAACUUGUUUUUAUGUAGACAUGAAACUAUUUGUAUUGCGCCCUGGAUAUUUGGUUUGGGCCAUUAGCCCUGGUUGGUGUACUGUUGGGCCUAAAACAUUUUCUAAUAUAGUCAACUUCAAAAAAGGAAAAUUCCUAAUUUAAAGUAGAAUUCAUCCUAAUUCAGUCAUAAUUUUGAAAUAAAUUUAAUUAUACGUCGCAAGCAAUUCUAAAAAUCAAUUUCGAUUUUAUGCCAAUAUUUUCGUUUGAAAAGUUAACAUAGUUUUAAGAUAAGCAGCUUUGUUUUUUCUUUUAAUAAUAAUAAUAAUACAAACUCCAUCUGGUGGCUUGUAAUGAUUCAAUCCCAGGCAGAUCUUUCAAUUCCAAAUGGCAAAACAAUAGCCUCCACAUCCUUAAAAAAAUCAGCAAGGAAUCUACAUCCAAUCCAAUAACCAAUAGAAUGGUGCUGAUGUGUAGAUUUCCUAAUCCACAAAUCUUCCCAUCUUUCAUUAUAACCCAUUUAUCUCCCAGCUUUCUUGACACUUGACAGACACCUCCUCUUCACAAAGUAAUUUAGACAUGGCAACCUCUGCAAUCCAACACUCUGCAUUUGCUGGGCAGACCGCUCUGAAGCAAUCAAAUGAGCUCGUUCGCAAGGUUGGCUCCUUCGACGGCGGUCGCUUUUCCAUGCGCAGAACUGUCAAGAGUGCUCCACCAAGCAUAUGGUAUUUAUUAUUCUCAAUUACAAAUUGUUAUUAUCUUAAUUUCUUAAAAAAUGGGGAUUAAGCCAAAUAAUUAGAAGAAGAAGAAGAGAAAACGAAUUUGUAGAGCUCAAAGGCAUCUUAUCUUUUAAGGAGAUGUCCAAGAAAAUAAGCAAAGAAAACUUGAGAGAGCUUUGGUUACGUGUAUGCAAGUUGCUUUGAGAAUAAACGGCUACUAUUUUGCGUUGGGGAUAUAUCUAACUGUAAUUCAUAAAACAGGUAUGGUCCAGACCGCCCAAAAUAUUUGGGUCCAUUCUCUGAGCAAACUCCCUCAUACCUUACUGGUGAAUUCCCCGGUGAUUAUGGAUGGGACACUGCUGGUUUGUCUGCAGAUCCAGAGACAUUUGCCAAGAACCGUGAGCUUGAGGUGAUCCACUGCAGAUGGGCUAUGCUUGGUGCACUUGGCUGCGUCUUCCCCGAAAUCCUAUCCAAGAAUGGUGUCAAAUUUGGCGAGGCAGUCUGGUUCAAAGCUGGAGCCCAAAUCUUUUCAGAAGGCGGUCUUGAUUAUCUUGGCAACCCUAACCUUAUCCACGCUCAGAGCAUCCUUGCAAUCUGGGCAGUUCAGGUUGUGCUAAUGGGAUUUGUUGAAGGCUAUAGAGUUGGUGGAGGACCACUCGGUGAAGGACUUGACCCCAUUUACCCUGGUGGUGCCUUUGACCCUCUGGGGUUAGCUGAUGAUCCUGAUGCAUUUGCAGAAUUGAAGGUGAAAGAGAUUAAGAACGGACGCUUGGCAAUGUUUUCCAUGUUUGGGUUCUUUGUUCAGGCUAUUGUAACUGGAAAGGGACCAAUUGAGAACCUCUUUGAUCACUUGGCUGAUCCAGUGGCCAACAAUGCAUGGGCUUAUGCCACUAACUUUGUUCCUGGAAAAUGAAGAGAGAAUCAGGUUCAACAUUACUCAGUCCUGGUGCUUUAAAUUUCUGGAAAUGUUCUUGUUGUGGAGGCCAUUAUUACUCUACGGGUGUUUUAGUAGUUGGAAAGCAUUGUAUCAACAGAACAUGAAAUCAGAUUUCUCCACGCUUGAAACUCUGUAUUUGGAAGGAAUGUGUCAUAAUUAAAUUUAAAAGCUUUCAGUCAAAACAUGACUUUUCAUUGCUAUAUACCACCAGUAAUAGUUGUAUGGUGAAAUUAACUCCUAGGCUGUGGAUCCAAAACACAGAUCAGUGGGAUCUCUCAUUUUCAUAUAUCUACAGACCGAAAUAACUCAUCUCCCUCUAUAAAAAUUCAAUUCAAUUUCUUAUUAAAUUUUUAUUUAAAAUAAAAAAAAUUAAAAUUUCAUUAUAUAUAAAAAUAAGUUUGAUGAAUAAUUUUAUAAAAAUUCAUUUAAACUCUUUUUCUUACAAAAUUAUUCAUAAACGAGGGGGUAAAAAGUUUUCCUGUCCCCAUAUUACCAAUGAAUAAACAAAGCUUACCGAUGAAUUGGCCUCUGCACUCUCCAACAUGGUCAUGCUAAUCAAGAGGUUGUUGCCCUUCAAUGGAAAAAGAAAAAUAUAUCAUGAAGAUAAUGGUUAAAAACAGAGUAUUGGGUGCUUCAUUCUGUUUAAAGUUUUUAGAAAAUAAAUUUACAUAAAAUGAAAAUUACAUAGGAAUUAGGAGCAUUUAUGCACCUAAGGACACUAAAUACAAAACGAGCUUAUUAAAACUGGUAUUUAUCGUAAUUCAAUUACAAUGCUGCUGAAAAAGGAAUUUAAUUAUAUAUCAUAAAUAUUUCUAGGGCUCCAUUUAUUUUAUAAAAAAUAACUUAAUUAUAGUUAGUUGCAAUAUUUAAAAUAAAGGGAUUAAUAAGAUUUUUAAAAAAAAUGAAAAUAGAAAAUUGGAGAGUAAAACAUGAAAUCUUUUAGAUUUAUUCAUAUUCAUUUGCAUUAUGCUAAAUCUGUGUGUGCAUGGAUUAAUAUGAUUUAUAUAUUUAAAAUAUGUUGAUGUUAAUAAAAUUCUUAAAAUUAAAAAAUAACUUUUAUUUUUUAAAUGAAAAAAUCAGUUCAUAUAUAAUAUAUGUCUUAAAAACUAAAGAAGAUAAAAAUAUUUUCCACAAAUAAAGCAUCCACUAAAAGUCAACCUGAAUUUUAUGCGUAGAUAAAAUUGUUUUAAAUUGGGUGUGAUUUUUUAUUUUCUCUAAAUACAAGAUAAUGUGAGUUAUUUCAAGUCAUGAAUCACUUAUAAUUACAAACUUGAAAGUAAGAUUGGCUAAAGACUACAUUGAUUUUUUUUUAAAAAAAAAUUAUUACUUAUUUUAUAAAAAAUAUUUUUUAAAAUAAUAAUUUAUUUAUUAACUUUUUAAUAUAUUCAAAGACAAAUAUAACUUUAUUUAAUAUGUAUUAAAAAAAAUAAAUUUAUUAGUUUCAAAUUUAAUUUUUUUCAAAAAAAAAAAAUUAAAGAGUAAAAUAUGAAAUAUUUCCUGUAUAUUUAAUUAUAUUUAUUAUUAAAUUAAAUCGAUAAAUACAAUUUUAAAAAAUAAUUUAUAAUGAGAGAAUGCGAGUUAAGGACAUAUAAAAAAUACCAUAUAGUUUUUUUUUUUUUGAAAUAGGGGGUUAGGGGAGUCGAAUUUUAGACCUUUCAAGACUAGAAAAUGCACUUUCCACCAGACUAAGUUUUGGAAUAACACCAUAUAGUUUUUAUUAUUUUAAUUAUAUUUUUUUCAAAAUUUUAAUUAUAUUUUUUUCAAAAUUUUAAUUAUAUUAAUUACAUUAUAUUACUGUGAAGUCUUUUUGACUCGAUUUGUGGCCUCUAUUCAAUCCAAGGAAGAUCUUUCAAUUCCACAUGGCAAGAGAGUAACCUCCACAUCCCUAAAAAAUCAACAAAGAAAUCUACAUCUAAUCCAAUAACCAAUAGAAUGGAGCUGAUGUGUAGAUUUCCCAAUCCACAAAUCUUCUCAUAGCCCAUUUAUCUCCCGGCUCUCUUGACACUUGACAGACACCUCCUCUCCACAAAAUUAGCAAAAGCUUCACAAAGCAAUUUAGACAUGGCAACCUCUGCAAUCCAACACUCCGCCUUUGCUGGGCAGACAGCUUUGAAGCAGUCAAAUGAGCUCGUCCGCAAGAUUGGUUCCUUCGGCGGCGGUCGCUUUUCCAUGCGCAGAACUGUCAAGAGUGCUCCACCAAGCAUAUGGUAUUUAUUAUUCUUAACCACCAAUUUAUUAUUAUCUUAAUUUCUUAACAAAUGAGGAUUAAGCCAAAUAAUUAGAAGAAGAAGAGAAAACGAAUUGUAGAUCUCAAAAGUAUUUGGGUAUUCGUGUUGGGAUCUAACGGCAUAAACUGUAAUUGAUAAAACAGGUAUGGCCCAGACCGUCCCAAGUAUUUGGGUCCGUUCUCUGAGCAAACACCAUCAUACCUUACUGGUGAAUUCCCCGGUGAUUAUGGAUGGGACACUGCUGGUUUAUCUGCAGAUCCUGAAACAUUUGCCAAGAACCGUGAGCUUGAAGUGAUCCACUGCAGAUGGGCUAUGCUUGGUGCACUUGGCUGCGUCUUCCCUGAAGUCCUUUCCAAGAAUGGUGUCAAAUUUGGCGAGGCAGUCUGGUUCAAAGCUGGAGCCCAAAUCUUUUCAGAAGGUGGUCUUGAUUAUCUUGGCAAUCCUAACCUUAUCCAUGCUCAGAGUAUCCUUGCAAUCUGGGCUGUUCAGGUCGUGCUAAUGGGAUUUGUUGAAGGCUAUAGAGUUGGUGGAGGACCACUUGGGGAAGGACUUGACCCUAUUUACCCUGGUGGUGCAUUUGAUCCUCUGGGACUAGCUGAUGAUCCUGAUGCAUUUGCAGAAUUGAAGGUGAAAGAGAUCAAGAAUGGACGCUUGGCAAUGUUUUCUAUGUUUGGAUUCUUCGUUCAAGCUAUUGUGACUGGAAAGGGACCUAUUGAGAAC